RNAcentral lists this long non-coding RNA (65000 nucleotides) under Olea europaea (common olive). RNAcentral describes it as "long non-coding RNA (OEUR_LNC005866)". Lineage: Eukaryota; Viridiplantae; Streptophyta; Magnoliopsida; Lamiales; Oleaceae. The record is from RNAcentral.
AAAGUGCCAAGCAAGCCAAUCCAAGUUGCACCUUGCCUUCCAAGAAUAAUCCUUGCCUUCCAAGUUCCCACUUGCCUUCCAAGAAUAAAUCCUUGCCUUCCAAAUGUUCCCUUGCCUUCCAAGAAUAAAUUCUUGCCUUCCAAGAGCCCCAUGUUUCGAACUCACGACCUCUGCUCUGCCAGAUUUGACAGCGUCCGUCCUUUGCCAGUGGAGAAGUGCCCUGGGGGGCUCAUGAUUGACAAUCCUUUCACAUAUAAGAGGUGGGCAGCACACAAAGCAAUUUUCUAAUGGUAAGAGUCUUGCUACAAGUACACAAUUUUGACAUCAUGAUUGACAAUCCUCUCACAUACAAGAGGUGGGACCCACAAUUAAAAUAAUUGCGGGCCCCACGUUUGUGAUAGUGUUGUACACGUAUAGCGCUGUACCAAAGCAAUUUCCUAAUGGUAAGAGUCUUGCUACAAGUACAACAAUUUUGACAUCAUGGUUGACCGUCCUCACAUACAAGAGGUAGGCCCCAUGAUUAAAAUAAUUGCAUGUCCCACGUUUGUGACAAUGUUGUACACAUACAACACUGUACUCAAAGAAAUUUCCUAAUGGUAAGAGUCUUGCUACAAAUACAACAAUUUUAACAUUGUUACGUGUUCGCACACUUGGGCAACCCACCAGGGUCCACAGCCAGCUCAUGCCGUACCACGUGGCACUCAAUUCGAGGUUAUUUUCAUAGUCGAGGCCCACAAACCGAGGCCCAUUUAUCCUUGCCUCAUGAGGAAGUUCCGAAGCCCAUAUGUCAAGGCCCUUUGAAGAUGGACGAGACCCUGUUUGCUGAAGCUCCUUAGCCGAGGUGACAGCAUCCGAAGCACAGACACUUCUCCCAAGAGAUUUUCUGCACAAAGAUCUUACUUGAAUGAUUGAUAGGACAUUUGUCAUGAGUGUAAAUGUUAAGUCUUAUCACUAGUAGAGGCGGCUCUGCCAAUCAAUAAAUGUAUAACAGGCUAGGUGCGGCUGAUCAGCCUACAAUUUGCAUGUAAACUAGCCGGAUGAGGCCACGUGUACCCUGAACCAAAGGUCAUGAUCUAACUUGUGACACUAUAAAUACUCCCCCUUGUAAGCCAUACCAAGGCUAAUGCAAGAAACCAUACUUUGUUCAACUCUCUCUUUCUUAUUAUCUUGAAACACAAACGAGUCCAAACAUAUUUAGAUACACAUUUACAAAUAUCGAUUGGUAAUUAUUGUACAAUCAGUCUAUGAAUAUCCCGUCGAAUUUCGAACAUUCUCGUCCCGUGCCGUUGAGCUACUCGCACGCUCUUAAUCUGUCCGUUCUAGACCAUCCACGUGUCUUUGCGUGUUGGACUUUCGCUUACGUGUGCGCGGGUGGGUCCGGUAUCUGUUGGUAACAUUUAUUAGGGUCAACAGAUUGGCGCCGUCUGUGGAAAACUAUACCAUAACCACGAACAACCUUGUGGUGGAAGCUUGUUAAAGAGGAACAUUUGGGCAUCCCCAUUGAAAAAGGAUUUGUUCUUGAAAAAGAACAAGAGGAAGCCCCAUGACUUAGCAAAAAUCUGAAGGGUAAGACAUAAGGAAAAUGAGUUCGAACGAAGAUACACCCCUAAGGAGGGUAAGAUAAAAUGCUAAUGUGCCCCCUCAAACAGUAGCCCCAGCAGCUCAGCAUAGACCCCAUCAUAACCACUGAAGAGGUGGAAUGCGUGUGACGGCCCGGCUGUCAAGAGAAAUGGCUACAAUGGCAACCAAUAUGAGGGACAUUGCUAGCCAAAACAUGGCUAUAAGGGAACUUAUGGGCCAAAUGCAGGGUCAGGGAGGUUUCCCUAUUCCUCCAUACGCCCCUCAAGGGCAAUACCAGCAAGAAGAUGAAGUUCAAAGCCAUAGGGCUACUUUGCUGGACUAUAGCCGAGGUGUAAGCCCAUUUGAAAGGGAAGUAGAAGUUGAUAUUUCCUCCAACUAUGCUUUUGAUUCCCACCUUCGUAUGAGCAAGAGCAAAGACGUAGGAGGUCAGGCAGUGUAUUUAACAGAAUUAGCCUCGCUGAACCGAAGCUUAGACAACAACAGCAUCAUGAGCCUUCGACAAGGCCCCCUCCUCCACCUCCAAUGCCUCAACAGCCAGAGGAAAGGCAUGAAAAUGCCCCCCGUGUUGCUCCACCUAGAAAUAGGCACCAAAGAAGGGAGGAAGAGGCUAGGAAUUGUCCCGGAACCUCUCACCAACAACCGAGGUAUGAGGCUAAAGAAAAUGAUUCCAAUGAGCAGUAGAGGUCCUGUGACUUGGAUGAUGAUGAUGAUGAAAACUUGUCAUUCUCAAGGGAACUAAGGAGCGCCCGGGUCCCAAACCACUAUGUUAUGCCAAAAAUACCAAAGUAUGAAGAAAGAGGCGACCCAAAAAAGCACCUGAAUACUUACAAAACUCACAUGAGCCUAAGGGAUGCCACCCCAGCUGUGAAAUGCAAAGCUUUCCACUUAACACUUAGCGGAGCAGCUGAAAUUUGGUACAGUAUGUUACCACCUGGGAACAUAAGAAAUUGGCUCGAAUUCAAGACGACCUUCUUGAAGAGGUUUGCUGUGAGCAAAGACCAACGUCUCCAAGACAUGAGACAGGCACAUGGGGAGUCCCUAAAGAGCUUCCUAUCACAUUUCACCGAUGAGAUGACAUAUUGUAUGCAAGUCACCGACCGUGAGGCAUUAUCUGCAUUGAGAGGAGGUCUGAACAUGAACACCCUGUUCUGGAGGGACGUGCAAAAUCAAGAUCCCACCAUCUAUGAUGCCCUACUCGAGAUGAUGAGACAAGAAAUCAUCAAUGAAGAAUUGAUUGAGCAUAGGAACAGGGCGAAUAGAGGCCUCCCACCUCCUCAAAGGCAGCGUGUUAGAAAACUGACCUCCCACUUGAUGGACUACCAGAUGAACCAAGCUGGUAAUGAGAGUUCUGGGCAAGCACUGGCCACUACCACUCUUAACGCCGUCCUUACAUUGGCAUAUAAGGAUAUCAAUCCAGUCGCUAACACCCAGCAGAUGGGAACUCCGCAAAGAUCCCGUAGGGAAAGAGGCCGAGGUUCAAGGCCUAGAAAUAGGUCACAUCAAAACUCACCUGGAUACUGUGUAUACCACCGGUCCUAUGGACACGACACAGCAGAUUUUCGAGACUAUGCUCACUGCUUCCGACAAAAACCCCCUAGGGAUAGAAACGAUUCGCCCUAGGCGAAUAGGCCCCCGUCAAGGUACGAUAACCGACAUGGGCGUGAAGAGGUCACUCCACGUCAAAGGGAUGUCUCUCCAUGACGAAGGGAGUGUGAUGCAGAAAGGCCCAGGGAAAGGCGCAGACAUCGAAGAAAUCGCCAAACUCAGGAUGAGGCCCUUAUCCACGAGGUGGAUACCAUUUUUGGAGGCCCUUAUAUAGGCGGUAAAACGCAAAACGCCAGAAGGAAUUAUGCCCGUGAGGCCAAGCACCCCCGGCUUACCAGCUAUAUUCUGGGCCACAACUCCCGGAGAGAUCAAGUUCCACGUAUUGCCUUCACCCAGGAGGACAUUGAAGGGGUUCACUACCCCAUUGCGAUGCACUUGUGGUAAGAGCUGUCAUAGCCCGGAAUGGGCUCAAACGAAUGUUAGGUGACAAUGGUAGCUCCGUUAACAUUCUAUUCGGAUCCACCUUUGACAAGAUGAUAUUGGACCAUGAGUUAACAUCCACCACCACUCCUUUGUACGGAUUUACCGGAGAUAGCAUUACCCCGAGAGGAAAAAUCACACUUGCAGUAAAGAUGGGGGAGUCUCCCCAAACCACAAUGAACUUCAUGGAAUUCCUUGUUGUCGACAGUCGAUCGGCCUACCACGGAGUAUUGGGUAGACCCGCCCUAAAAGAAUUGGGAGCCGUCACCUCCAUCCACUACCUGUGCAUGAAGUUCCCGACUGAAAAUGGAAUGGCAACGGUGAGAGGCGACCAAAGAGGCUCAAGAGAAUGUUAUUUAAGCUCCAUUAGAAAGGUAGAGCCCCGGGACGUCCACAUGAUUAUUGUCGAUGUAAUCAUGGCUGAUGCCCCAGGUGAUGCUCCCGCCGAACCGGAAAAUGUCGAAAUGAUCGACGCACCACCCAAUCCGAAAGUAGUGGUCAUCGAUGAAAUUGACCCCCACAUAAUUGAACACGAACCUCAAGCAUCCCCAGUUGAGGAACUUGAGAGCUUCUCCGUAGACCCCCGAGACCCAUCCAAAUUGUUAAAGGUGGGCAAGGGCUUGUCCAGCACUUCGAAAGAAAAACUUAAGGAUUUCCUAAGUAGGAACCUCAAUAUCUUUACUUGGAGGCAUGAGGAUAUGGUAGGCAUAGACCCCAAGGUCAGAUGCCACCACCUGAAGAUUGAUCCUAAGGUUGCCCCGCAUAGAUAAAAAAGGAGAGCCCUCAAUCCUGAAAGGUACGAGGCCCUGAAGGAAGAAGUUCAGAAGCUCAUCCAGAAUGGCUUCAUCAGGGAGGCCACCUAUCCGAUGUAGGUCUCCAAUCCAGUAUUAGUGAAGAAACACAACGGCAACUGGAGGGUGUGCAUCGAUUUCACUAACCUCAACAGGGCUUGCUCGAAGGACAGCUUUCCACUUCCAAGGAUCGACCAACUGGUAGACUCCACGACUGGGCACGAGUUAUUGAGCUUCAUAGACGCAUACUCCGGCUACAAUCAAAUCCCCAUGCACCCAGCUGAUGAGGAACACACAUCUUUCAUCACAAACCGAGCCCUUUACUGCUACAAGAUGAUGCCCUUUGGGUUGAAAAACACCGGAGCAUCAUAUCAAAGGCUCGUCAACAAAAUGUUUGUGGACCUCAUCUUCAAGACAAUGGAGGUCUAUGUAGAUGACAUGCUGGUAAAGAGUUUGGAAGCUGGGGACCACAUAACGCACCUCAAUAGCACCUUCCAAAUUUUGAGAAGAUAUAGGAUGAGGCUCAACCCCCUCAAAUGCGCCUUUGGAGUGGCCUCCGGUAAAUUCUUUGGGUACAUGGUCAACCAACGUGGUAUUGAAGCCAACCCUGAGAAGAUUGAGACCAUAUACAAGAUGAGGUGGGGAAGCCAAAGGAGGUGCAAAACUUGACUGGACGAGUGGCCGCGCUUAGCUGCUUCGUCUCCAAAGCUACGGAUAAAUGCCUCUCAUUUUUCAAAGUGCUAAAAGUUGAGAAGAAGUUCCAGUGGAAUGAGAAAUGUGAAGAGGCCUGAAAGGGCACCUAGGGCAGGCCCCCUUCCUCUCCGAACCGAAGCCUGAUGAAAUCCUACAGUUGUAUCUAGCCGUCUCCAAUGAGGCCAUUAAUGCGAUUCUAACCUGAGAAGAGGGAACCACCCAACUCCCCAUUUACUAUACAAGUAAAGCAUUACUAUCGCCGGAAACAUGCUACCCCGAUAUGGAGAAGCUCGCUUUGGCCUUGAUCACGGCCUCCAGGAAGUUGAGACCCUACUUCCAAGCCCACACCAUCCACGUGUUGACAAAUUUUCCCCUAAGGCAGGUAUUCCAAAAGCCGGAUGUCUCAGGGAGAUUAUUGAAAUGGGCGAUGGAGCUAAGUGAGUUUGACCUUGUGUUCAAGGCUAGGGCAGCCAUCAAGGGCCAAGCUUUAGCUAACUUUGUGGCAGAAUUCGCCAACUUACCCGAGGUGGAUGAAAUCAUGGAACAAGCCGAGCCCCUAACGUGGAACCUAUUCGUUGAUGGAUCGGCUGGGGACGUCGGCUCAGGAGUUGGAGUGGUCUUCAUCAGUUCGGAAGGUCACAAGCUGAACUCGACAGUGAGGUUCGGGUUUAAGGCUACCAACAAAGUAGCAGAAUACGAGGCACUUCUCGUAGGCCUCAGGUUAGCCAAAGAAAUGCAAGUGAAGAUGCUACUCAUUAGUAGUGACUCUCAGUUGGUCGUUAGCCAGGUUAACGGUAACUUCUCAGCCAGGGACAAAACAAUGGUCUCCUACUUGAAAAUAGUGAUGAACCUCAUCCCGUCCUUUGAAAAGUUUGAGUUGAUCCAAUCUCGCACAUCGAAAAUGCACAUGCGGAUGCACUCUCCAAACUUGCAAGUAGCAAGGAUUUCGAACUACUCACGGUAGUCCCUAUAGAGCACCUCCUCAUGCCAUCAAUCGAGACCCCCAAUGUAAUAUGGGUCACUGGGAUUCCUACCUGGGUGCAGCCCAUCAUGGCAUACCUCAAGGACCAGGUACUUCCCACUGACAAGUAUAAAGCCUACAAGCUAAGGAGGAGGUCAGGCCAUUUCCUCUUCAUUGAUGUGUACUUUAGAAGAGGAGCUUCUCCUCUCCAUUCUUACGAUGCGUCGGAGGAGAAGAGACUACCUACAUCUUAAGAAAAGUCCAUGAGGGUAUGUGCAACAGCCACUUUGGAGGUCUAUCUUUGGCACAAAAGAUACUGAAAUAGGGGUACUACUGGCCUACCCUAAAAAGGGACGUCCCUGAAUUUGUACAAAAAUGUGACAAAUGCCAACGAUUGUCUCUUGUCCAAAGACAAUCAUCGCAAGAUUUGGCCACGGUCUCCAGCCCUUGGCCUUUCUCGAAGUGGGGUAUGGACCUCAUAGGUCCUCUACCAAAAGGCAAAGAAGGUGCGAGCUUCACAAUUGUGGCCAUUGAUUACUUCACGAAGUAGGUUGAAGCUGAAUCGCUGGCAAAAAUUAUAGAAGCCAACACUUCCAAGUUCUUGUGGAAGAAUAUCAUAUGCCGGUUCGGGAUUCCCUACUUGAUCUCUCAGACAAUGGUAGACAGCUUGACAACAAGAAGGUCAGAAGUUUGUGUGAAGAACUUGGCAUCAAGAAGCACUUCUCCACACCUCACCACCCAUAAGCAAAUGGCCAGGUUGAGGCCGUGAACAAGACAAUCAAGCACGUCCUGAAAAUGAAGCUCGAUGUGUCAAAAGGGGCCUGGGUGGAUUAGCUGCUACAGGUUCUUUGGGCAAUUCGAACCACUGCGAGAACCCCAACAGGGGAAACACCUUUCCUCAUGGCAUAUGGAGCUGAAGCGAUGAGCUCCGUCAAGGUCGGACUUCCAUCUCCAUGACGUCUGCAUUUCAGUGAGAUAACAAACGACGAGCUUCGCAGGUGUGACCUCGACUUCAUUGAAGAAAGGAGAGAUGACGCCCAGCUGGCACAUAUCAAAGAAAGAUGGCGAAGUACUUUAACUCAAAGGUAAAGAAGAGGUCAUUUCGAAUCAACGACUUAGUCCUUAGGAGAGUUUUCCUCUCCUCAAAGGAACCUGGCACCGGUUCCCUGGGCCCGAACUGGGAAGGUCCAUGUAAAAUCAGAAAGGAGAUCCGACCCGGGACCUACUGGAUUGAAGAUAUGAACGGCAAGGCACAACCCCGUCAAUGGAAUAUUGAGCACCUUCGAAUCUAUUAUCAAUGAAUGUGCUACCUCGCUGGACGAUCUUUCCCAACUUAUGUAACUUCCAUGAUUCAAUAAAAUUAUGCAUAAUUGAAUUAAUCACCAUUGCGUCAUCACCUCGGAGGAGAGGCCAACGUCCCAUCUGUGGGCCACCUCGUCUGAACGCCACUGGGAGAAGCCUCAACAUGGCUGAACUAUCCACCAUGUUGGGAAGCGUCAUCACCUCGGGGGAGAGGCCAACGUCCCAUCUAUGGGCCACCUCGUCUGAACUCCGAGGCACAUGCACUUGCCUCCCUUUGACGAGGCUGAACACCACUGGGAAAAGUCUCAGCAUGACCGAACCAUCCACCAUGUUGGGAAGCGUCAUCACUUCGGAGGAGAGGCCAGCGUCCCAUCUAUGGGCCACCUCAUCUGAACUCCGAGGCGCAUGCACUUGCUUCCCUUUGGCGAGGCUAAACGCCAUUGGGAGAAGUCUCAGCGUGGCUAAACUAUCCACCAUGCUGGGAAGCGUCAUCACCUCGGAGGAGAGGCCAGCGUCCCAUCUAUGGGCCAUCUCGUCUGAACUCCGAGGUGCAUGCACUUGCCUCCCUUUGGCGAGGCUGAACACCACUAGAAGGAGCCUCAGCAUGGAUGAACCAUCUUCCAUGUUGGGAAGUGUCAUCACCUCGGAAUAGAGGCCAGCGUCCCAUCUUUGGGCCAUCUCGUUUGAACUCCGAGGCGUGUGCACUUAUUUAUGCGCAAGGCUCAACCACUACUAGCUUCACUCAACUACUUUUGAAUUAGACAGUAAUAUUCCCAAUUCGGCUGAAACACGGUCCAGUCAGGAUCCAUUCAAGUUACAAUUAUUAAGCUUAAGUACAAUUCAUUUGCUUAAGUCCAAUUGUUCAUGGUUCGUGAGGCUUGCGUACAAUUUACUUGUUCAAGUGAUUGGAGUUAGGAUAUCAAGUUAAAGUUAUUUAGUUCUUCAAUCAACAUUAAAUUCAAUUACUUUACGAGGCCAAUGUACUUUGGAGAAAAACAACAUUGCAUGAAAAAGGAUGUUAUAUUGAUUUACAAUCAAGAUUAUAACCAGAGGGCCCAAGGCCAGUACAUCAAAAAUAAUUGAAAAGAAAAUUAUCCUAAGCCUGCGAUGACGAUGGAGGUGCCUCAACAGUCGAGGCCUCCGCAGCUUGAGCAUCUGAACUUCCUUCUGCCUCCGCCACUUCAUCUCCAACUCCUUCAUCAGCUGGGGUUUGAGGCACUUCAUCCACAAAUUUCGACCUCAGCUGUGACAAGUUUUGGUUUGGGUAAAGCUCCUUAGCCCUCUCCGUCAUCUCAACAUAAGCAUAAUUUCUCCAGUAAGUGCUGAAACUCUUGUACUCCUCGGUAUUGUGGAAGUUGGCGAUCUAGUCUUUCACCGACUCUUUCCUUGCCUCCUGAGCCUCCUCCCUUGCCUUAGUCGCAUCAUCAACGUACCACUUAAUCUGGCCCUCCAAGAACUUGUAUGCAUCUUGGGCCCCUGCCAGCUCCAUGUUUGCCUUCUCCAAGGCUUCAGCAGUCACCUUCUGGUGGUCAUUGGAAAUCUCCACUUUCUUAGUCAAGGAGGCUACCUCGCACUGGGACUUGUAUACCUCCUUCUUCAGUGCCUUGAUUUGAGCCAAGGAAGACUCCAGCUUGGCCGUAUCUUCAAGUUUUUGGGCCCUCGCUUCCUCCACCUCGGCUCUAGCCCCCUUCAGCUCCUCUGUAAGGGAGGCUAUCUUCUUCUGUAAGGGAGGCUAUCUUCUUCUCCGAGGACUGGAUCCUCGUUUAAAAGUCAGUAAGGUCCUCCCUACACUCCAGUGUGAGGCCAAAGGUCCUUACACUUUGGCUCACCAGGGCCCUUGUUAAGUCCGUGGAGUCACAUGAGGAGGCAUGCAACUGCCACCGAUCUGUCUAGAAUUUGUAGAAGCAUUCUGUAGCACUUCGGAUCUCAGGUGGCAGAGCUUCCACCAAUGCUGGAGCCAGAACCUCCUCCCUUCUGACAAGGAAGCUCAGAGACUUUCCUUGCACCCUCGUAGGCCUCUGUUUGGCGGCCUCCUCCUCCGCCGCCUCAGCUACCCUUCUCGCAACCUCCUCCUUUGCUUCCUCAUCCUCCACCAGUCGAACCAUUUCUAUUUUUACUGCUUUCGAAGCGGAUGCAAAGAGCUUUGGCUGAGUGACUUCUCUGCCUUCAUGGGACACAGAGGUCCCAAAUUUUCCUAACGAGCUGGUGACAUGCACCAACUUUCUCUUCGGCUCCUCGGGGACUUUCUCCUUCCCCCGAGGCUCCUUAGCCUUCUCCGGCCUCUGAGGUAUCCCCUCUUCUGGAGCCCUCAAACUGUCGUCUUUAGAGAGGCACUCGACCCUGUCCUGAACCUCUUUGGCACCCUUGGACCCCGGCUUCAGGGGCCUCACCUUCACAGUAGAUGUGGCCUUCAGUAUAGAGGCCAUAUUAGAGGCUGGGUACUCCCUCCUCUUGAACUUGUCUGCAGAACAUGUCAACGCAUCAGCAUCAAAAUGAAAAGCAAGAAAUACACUAAGUAUAGGAGCUUCUUACCCUUGGAGGCCAUCAGUUCGAAAUCAAGGAAGUAGCGACUUCGGUCGAUGAGGUGGUCGAAGUGGCGAAGCUUGAGAGACCUCUUGUAAAUGUCCCCUAUCACUUCGAACUCCUCCUUGCUCAGCUCGAACCGUGUACUACUAUCUGCAAACGAAGCCUCAACAGUUAGAGAAAAAAUAAAUUUGAACACAGAAUGCAAACCACUUAGGCUGGGAGACUCACGAGCUUCGUAGUACUGGGUCGGUACUGUGCAAGCCAAGGCUAUGUCUCCCUCCACCGCCUGCCACCUGCUCCUCACCCAGAACCACGAUUCCUUCCACCCCUUAAUGGAAGAAGGCAGCCCCACCACAAAUGGUGCAUGAGCCUCCUAAGAAGUCAAGUAAUACAACCCCCUGGACUCCUUACCUAUUACCCUAGGCUGGAAUAGGGUCAAGAAGACGUGGAGAGGCAUGUCCUCCCCAAGUGAAACUUCCUUCCAUAGGAAGUACGAGCCAACCAACUGACUCCACCCAUUUGGCAAAACUUGGGUCGGCGACAAUAUGAAGUUCCUCAACACCGCCCUGAAGAAGGGGUGCAGAGGAAGACGCAUACCUGCUUUAAACAGAUACUCGCUCAUCGCCACGCACCCAGGCCUCGGAUAGCAAGUUCUCUCAUGGGCCUCAGGUACUAACAUCUCCACAUAAUGAGGUACACAGUACCUCUCCCUUAUCUCUCCCAACCUCUUCUCUUUCAUAUUUGAAGGGACCCUAGACGUCCCCCACUCCACACUAUAAUCUAUUGCCUCCUCGAUUAUAGCAUACUGCUUAACCUCGGAGUCCCCCUGUAUCUAGACCCCCGAUCAAACGACGCGAUAGUGACCAACUCCCUACCCCAGGUGGACUCCAUUUCAGAAAACGACUAAGAACACAAUACAAGGGAUCAUCUGUAAAAAAUACCUGCGGGGUUACUACGCCGACGAAAUGCUGUCGAAAAAUCAGGGGACAAAGAGCUUCGACGCCGAAAAACUUUAGCUUUGGAAGAAAAAAUUGGAUUGCAAAGGGUAGAAAAUCUAAGAUAAUGAAGGUCUCUCGCCUUUUAUAAAGGGCCAGGACGAACCCCAACCGUCUGAUCAAAUCCAUCCAAUCUGAAUCCUUCAUUCUUAAUCAAAUCCGACGCAUAGAAUUCAAACGAUUUUUCAAACCUACGCCUCAGAUUAAAGCAUGUCCCCCACGCACCUCCUCCAACGCGUCUGCUUCUAGAAACUCCAGCUGUUCUCAUAAUUACGAUUUUAAUUCGACGGCAACAGGCGCCUUGGAAGUUGUAACGGUUUAACCAUUUUUCCUCGAAAAUAUGCGCAAAACAUCAAAUCAUUGGCACAACUGCCGUGAAACAAUUAUUGUCAAUGUGCCUCAGAAUUCAGAUAUCAAGCCUCGUAGGUUUGGUUUCUCAACCACCUUGGCUUCUUCAUCAAAAUUCAGUCAUCAAGCCUCACAGAUUCGGUUUUUCAACCACCUCGACUUCUUCAUCAAAAUUCAACCGUCAAGCCUCACGAGUUCGGUUUCUCAACCACCUCGACUUCCUCAUCAAAAUUCAGCCAUCAAGUCUCGCAGGUUCGGUUUCUCAACCACCUCCACUUCUUUAUCAAAAUUCAGCCAUCAAGCCUAGCAGGUUCGAUUUUCAACCACCUCGGCUUCAUCAUUCUCAUCACUUCUUAGACAACAGCAAAUCUCUAACUCCAGCCAUAAUAUAAAUAUCUAUACUUGGACUUGAGGGACUAUUGUUACGUGUUCGCACACUUGGGCAACCCACCGGGGUCCACAGCCAACUCAUGCCAAACCACGUGGCACUCAAUCUGAGGUUAUUUGCAUAGCCGAGGCCCAUUUAUCCUUGCCUCGUGAAGAAUUUCCGAAGCCCAUAUGCCGAGGCCCUUUAAAGGUGGACGAGGCCCUGUUUGUCGAAGCUCCUUAGCCAAGGUGACAGCAUCCGAAGCACAAAGCAAUAUCUUCCAUAGACACCUCUCCCAAAAGAUCUUCUGCACAAAGAUCUUACUUGAAUGAUUGAUAGGACGUUUUUCAUGAGUGUAAAUGUUAAGUCUUGUCAAUAGUAGAGGCGGCUCUGCUAAUCAAUAAAUGUAUAACAAGUUAGGUACGGCUGAUCAACCUACAAUUUGACAUGUAAACUAACCUGAUGAGGCCACGUGUACCCCGAACCAAAGGACAGGAUCUAACUUAUGACACUAUAAAUACUCCCCCAUGUACCCCAUACAAAGGCUAAUGCAAGAAUCAAUACAAGAAACCAUAAUUUACUCAACUCUCUCUUUCUUAUUAUCUUGCAACACAAACGAGUCCUUACAUAUUUAGAUACACAUUUACAAACAUCGAUUAGUAAUUAUUGUACAAUCGGUCUACGAACAUCCCGCCAGAUUAUGAACAUUCUCGUCCCGCGCCAUUGAGCUACUCCCACGCCCUUGAUCUAUCCGUUCUAGACCGUCUACAUGUCUAUGCGUGUUGGACUUUCGCUUAUGUGUGCGCAGGUGGGUCCGGUAUCUGUUGACAACAUUUAUUGGGGUCAACAAAUAUCAUGAUUGACAGUCCUCUCACAUGCAAGAGGUUGGUCCCACGAUUAAAAUAAUCUCAGGCCCCACAUUUGUGACAGUGCUGUACACAAAAAAAUUUGCUAAUGGUUUGUUUGUUUGUGGUCUUCUUUGCCUGUUUGAAAUAAUUAGGCCCUAUCCUAUAAAUAACUUUUUGAUUUGAUGACCUUGGAUGAGAUAUAUAUUGGUUAUAUAUUUAAGUAAUUAAACAAUUCAAAAUAAUGGUAAUUUCAUUUUUUAUUAUUCUGUUAUCAUUUAAACGAGAUAUAUGGAGUGAAAAUUCAUCAUAAUUCCAAAUUUAGAGGAAGAAACUGCGUUGUUUAUCGAUUUUUUGUGGAGUUAAUUGUUUUAAUGGUCACUGAAUUUAGGUCAAUGUCAUUAAUUGGUCACUAAAGUUUAAAAUAUCGAGUUUUGGUCACUGAACUUAGAUCAAUGUCUUCGAUUGCUAAUUGAACUUAAGUCCAUGUCUUAGAUUGCUGACUGAAAUUUAAAAUGUCGAAUUUUGAUUACUGAACUUUAGAAUAUGUCGUACAUUACUCACUAGCAUAACUGUUGAACUUUGAAAAAUAUCGAGUUUACAGUGAGUAAUGUACAGCAUUUUUCAAAGUUUAGUAAGUAAUGUACAACAUUUUUUAAAGUUCAGAAACCAAAACUCGAUAUUUUAAAUUUCAGUGAGUAAUUGAAGAUAUUGACCUAAGUUCAGUGAUCAAAAUUCGACAUUUUAAACUUCGGUGAUCAAUCAAAGACAUAGACCUAAGUUCAGGAUCAUUGGAACCAGGGGCGGACCCAGACCAUUUGAACUGUGGGGUCAAAAAAAAAAUUUUCGAACGUAUCAUGAAAAAAAAGGAAAAAUCGGUUGUUUACUGUUCAUAUUCGAUAUGUGCACUUUGGGAAGAAAUCGUUGGAUUAUAUGAUAUAUUUAUGGACUAAAUAAUGGAUAUGGACCAUGUGAUAUGGAUAUAGAUUUAGAAUUUGGACUUUUUGAGGCAGAAAAUUAAGUUUUCAGCACAAAAAAAAAAAAAAAAAAAAAAACUGUGGGGUCAUUUGACCCCAUGUGGGUCCGCCCGUGAUUGGAACAAUUAACUCAUCUUUUGUGCCAUAUCUGAUAUCCCACAAGAUUUUGAGAAUUUCAAAACCAUUCUUUCCAUCUUCAUCCACUUUUCUCGUCCUAAGAGAGUAUGUUGAAAUUCAUCCAUCUUGUACGAUUCAAGACUUUUGUUUACAAUGCACGUGGUUCAAUAAAAUGUUUCUUUUCGCCGUAGAUGUUUGCUUGGAUUUAAGAUUUUAGUCGUGAUCUUAUUAGUGCAUUGUGACUUUAUGUGUGUGACGAACAAUUUUAAUGUAAAAUCGAAAAGCUUGCUAAACAAGUUGAAAAUCGACUUGUCGUGACCGUGACUUUUGUUAGUGGUUUGUGAAUACAUGUGCUGAAACGUUGCGUCAAAGGUCACAAUUUUAAUUAUGAUGAGAGACGAUAACGAAUUAGCAAAAUUAUAGAGAAAUGAUUAUAACUAAUUUGCAACAUUGCCUAUGUUAACCACAAAGGUGCGAGCAUAACAUGGCAUGUUUUACGCCUCUAAUUAUUUCCCAUUGAAUUAAAUAAUGUCUUAGAGUUUACAUAAUAAUUAUCACAAAAUAUAAAUGUACUAAAGCUAUCAUUAAUCAUGCUGUAGACAAGCUAUCUUGCUCAAAAGAUAAUGUGUGGGAUAAGCAUUUUCAAAUAGCAUUACACAUUAUCCUAACAUAAAAAGUGAAUUAAUAAUAAGAAAAAGCUGUUUGCUCAUGGCAUUAACUUAACUUUGUCUCCCACUAAUACUCUCAUUUCCAUCUAAAUUAGAGUGCCCUAAUCAUUAUUCUUAAGGGGAAAAAUGGGAGGAUUUCAAAACUUCGAAUGAUAAUGUUUUUGUGGAUUUUCGACACAAUUCUUACCUUGAGAAAUUGUAGAUCGCCUAAUUAUCGUAUUUAAAAUUUGAGAUUCAAAUUUUUGAAUACUUGAGUCGUUCAAACUUAUUUAUUUUCUUUUCAAUUGUGCUGAUAAAACAAGAUUUCCGUGUUUAAAAUUUGGGAUUCGAAGUGUUAAAAUCACGAAUAGUUCGAGAUUUUCCUUGUUUAAAAUUUGAAAUUCCACCAUUUAUUGCACCACAUCAAGUGCCUAUAAUAUAUUCCCAUGUUGCCCCCCGAGGCACAGUUCAACUGGUGGAUCAAUCAACAUCGUCUUGCUUCCCGCGGUAGGGUGGAGAGUUCGAUUCUUGGUGGGAACCUGCGGCCAAAAAAUUUGGUAUGGAGCAAUCACUGUGGAGGGGGCUCUCUUGUGCGCAGAAGUGUACAGGCAAUGGGGGGAACAUGUGAUCCAAUUGAGGCAUAACCCGCGAUUUAUCCCCUCCAAGGGUCCUGAGGGUUCAGGAUUUGGUCUGGUGUAAGCUGGGAUACCUGGAUAUAAAAAAUAUAUAUAUAUAUAUUCCCAUGUUAUGUUAUCCUCGUGCAUUGAAAAAAAAAAAAAAUUCCAUCACCCCUGAAUCUACGGCAGAUUUCGAUGUCGUUUGAUUAAUUAGUCGGUGGUCUCCUACUUCCAGCCACUUCCCCUUUAUUUCUUGGUCCCGCCGUCUCCCUAAAAUUGGGGAUAAAAUCCCACUCUCUAUCUCAAACGAUCAAUUAUCAAAUCAUUCCUACAUUAUUUUGCACUACCAAACAAAAAGAAAAACAAAAUAGUUCAUCUUAGCGAGAGAUAUCACCCUUAUGCGUGGAUAUAUUUUAUCGGUAGAGCUCGAAUGUGAUCUCUUUUGGUCGAUGAAUUGAUCUUGAAGAAGAAAUUUUAGUAGCAAUAAAAUGGAUAUAAGUCUUGCAUUGAAAGUGAAUAAUUUUGUAUCUUAAAAGUCUCAGAUGUAAGAGUAAUGUUAUUCAGCCCGACAAGUAUGACUGAAUCGUAGAUUGGUGCGGAGCCUACAAGCUGAAUAGCAUUAUUCUACUAUCUAUCUGUUUUAUAAAGAUUUUCAACAAGUAGAAUAAAAAUUUGUGGAUCUAAUAAAAUGUAUGAUUAAAAUUCGUUAAAAGUUACGUAACCAUACCAAACUACUGGUAAAGGUAAGCCAUUUAGAUUAUUACACCUAGAGACGAGUGUCCCUUUCCCAAUUUCCUGUUUCCUUGUUACUCCAGUUCCAUGUGACAUAAAGAAACAAAGUUCAGUUCACCAGUCUUUCUCCAAGAAACUCCAUUGAUUCCUCCAAUUGUGUGCGUCUAAUUAUAAUUCUUCAAGAUAUGAAGACUGGUGCAAAAUUCAUAGUCCUUCACCCGUCAAUCCACAAACCCGGCGGCGGUGGCGCGUUAGUAGUAGCUCUAUCUCACCGCACAUGGCUUCUGGUUCUCUUGCUCUUUUUCGCCUUCACUUUUGGUUUCACUUUAAUCACCAUCAGGGACGCUACAAGAACUUCAAGACCCAAUCGAAGCGCCACUGCCAAAGCCGCCACCGAUGCUCCGUUACCUAGGCCAGUCUUUGACGCGCUCCUCCACUAUGCGUCUAUAAAUGACACAGCCUCCGGUCGGAUGUCAUCGGCUGAGCUGAAGAGUAUCUCCGCCGUGCUCCGCCGCUGUGCUGCCCCCUGUAAUUUCCUUGUUUUCGGUAUCGCCCACGAGACCCUUCUCUGGAACUCCCUCAACUACAACGGCCGUACAGUUAUCGUGGACGAAAGCUCGUACUUAGUCUCCAAGCUUGAAGAAAAGCACCCCAGAAUCGAAGCUUACGAUGUGCAAUUCACCACCAAAGUCAGCGAAUUGCACCCUUUGAUGGCGCAUUACAGAUUGCAGAAGAAAAACGAAUGCAGGCCGGUGCAGAAUCUCUUGUUUUCUGACUGUAAAUUGGCAAUAAACGAUUUGCCAAACCACAUAUACGACGUCCCAUGGGACAUAAUUCUGAUAGACGGGCCACGCGGCUACUUUCCAGCAGCGCCAGGGAGGAUGACGGCGAUAUUUACUGCCGGAGUUUUAGCAAGGAGUAAACGAGGCGGCGUGGACAAAACCCAUGUGUUUGUGCACGAAAUUGAGAGAGAAGUAGAGAAAUUAUGCAGUGAUGAGUUUUUGUGCAGAGACAAUCUGGUGGAGACUAAAGAGAAUUUGGGGCAUUUUGUGGUAAGCAAAAUGACGGCGGCGCGUGGGUUCGAGUUCUGUCCAACUCCGAUUCAUCAUUCUCACCGGAAUUAAAUUCAUCUGACGCAAAAGAUCGAGGAAUUAUCGUCCCUCUUUUUUUUUUUUCCUUCUAAUUUUAGAUAUACAUAUACGAUGGUGUGUAACUUAUAUAGGUUUUCAAGAUCCAAAUAGUAGACGCCAAACUCUGAGAAGUACAAGAUCGAUUUAUCUAUCUACUUUCAUUAAUAUUAGAUUGAAUCGAACCACAAGCAAUUUGUACUUCGAAAAUUUGUAGUCUUUAAUAGUUUGAAAUUAAAUAUCUUCUCUUUCAUCACAAGAAAAGAAAUUGAGGGUCAAAAGAAGAUAUGGGAAAAAGAAAGAGGUUACAAUUGCCUUGAAAUUGGCUGUCGGCGAUAAACUCUUACUUGCGGGGUAGGAAAGGCACAUUUAUUAGACUUGUAUACUCAUAAANNNNNNNNCAUGUGGCUUGCAAAAUUAAGGGCACUAUAAUUUGGACAAUUAUCUAACGAUUAUAUUACAUGUAUAUAAUAAUUUACGUUAUGGUUUAUAUAAACGUGAUGUGGUGAAAGAUGAUAUUUGGUUCGUUUUUAGUUGGAUUUAUUUAGAACAUAUUUGGUAGAGAUUUUAAUUCAAUUAACAUCAAUUUUUUUAUCGUUAUUUCACUAUUUUAGCUGUCAUUUUUGAAUUUUUCUCUCACAGGUAGAACCCACUUACCUUUAACAGUCAAAAAAUCAAUUAACAAAAUCCCUACCAAACAAGCACUUAUAUUGAGCCCCUCUUGUUGAAUAUGUUUAACCAGUGUUUGAUUUAUUUAAAAUAAUGAUAAUCAAAGUAAAAAAUUAGUUUUAAUCAUAGAUUUUAUGAUAUUCACAACUCCUAUCAAAUUUUUAAUCACAUAUUUUAUUCACUUUUAUCAAAAUCUGCUAACAAUUAGAAUUUUAGCUAAACCACAUAUCAGCUCAAGAUGCAAUAUUAAAUAAGCAAAAACGAAUGUUAAUUUGUCGUGGGUUAUCACAUAGAUAUCCAAAAAAUUGAGACAUUUUAAAAAAGAAAAAAAAUAGGUAAUUAUCAUAAAUUGAAAAUACAAUUUCAAGUUUAUCAAAUUUGUAAAAAAUGUUUUCACAAAUCAGGUGUUAAAUCGUAAUACACACACUAAAUCAGGAUAAUUUAAUCAUUACUAUCACAUCCUAUUAUAUAACAUGUAAUCCUUUUUGAAUAACAUAUUCUUUUCUAAUUUUUCUCCCACCCACCUUCUCUCCCCUACUCUACAGAUUUGGAAAAUCGGAACAUUCACAUCUCCAUUAUAUCUAAAAUUGCUCCAAAAUUAUCGUUGAAAUUGACUAUAAUUUGAUGAGUAUAAUUUUUCAAAAGCAAAUUUCGAUUGAGUAAGCCACAAUGCCAUCAUCAAUUUUUACAAUUUUCGUCUAUCUACAAGGGCUAACUUCGAGUGAGUUAAUAAUUCGGUGGUUUAGAAUUUGAAAAUUUCAAAACCAAGACAUUUCUUCUAAAUUCUAAAUAUUUUCUGGUCAAAUAGUAAUGAAGAAUUAUUGUUUGAAACCACAUCAACAUAUAUAAACGUGGUUGUAAGUCUAUGUUAAUUGUGAUCCGUUGUAACCAAAUUCGUCUUCAUUGUGACUGCUUAUGACCAGAUAUAUUUGUCACAUACAGUCAUAGUAAAAGACUAAUCUAGUCAUAAGCAAUCAUAAUGAAGACAAACUUGAUCACAGUUGGUAACAUAUAACACAGAUCGCUCACAAACUAUAAUAGAAUACCCAGAUCUGAUCACAAAUAGUUACUGCUAAACAGAAUUUUUCCACAUACAACAUAAAACCAACAUAAAACACACAAGCAAUACGAUCCAAGUCGGCCACCACCUUAAACCCACAACCUCCUCACCAACUCUACCUCAAAUCCUCCUCAAAUCUAUGUCUCAUCAAAUUAUCCAUCCUCGUAGACUCCGAUGAAAAGCUACGGUUCAAUACAUAUGGUUAUCUUCAUUUUGUAUCUUUUUGUUUGUAUGUAUAUACAGAAAGAGGUUGUAUUUUGUCUCUGUAGGGGGGGGGGGAGCGAGCGAGGAUAGUAAAUAAAGAAAGUUUCAUUGGUAGAUAAAGUAGAGAGAGUUUAAAAUAUCUUUGUGAAGAUGUGGGGUAGGGUUAGGAUAAAUCAUGAUUGAAUCAAGAGAUGUGUGGGAUAAGUAUAUGAUCAAGCGAAACCGCAAGCAUGCGGAUUGUUGACAAGUAAUAGAUUUAGUCAAUUGAUAGUAUCAUUCUACAAGGAAUAAAUUUCUAUUCAAGUUUAUUAGUUAAGCAUGGAAUACGAAUUAUGUAAAACAAAAUGGAGAUUUUGAUAUGAUAUUUGCUAAAUUAAUCUAAAAAAACAAUAAAAGUUUGGUUUUUCAUGAAAUUAUAAAUGAUUGUGUUGGAUCUAGAAUCCGCCUAUUGCUAGCUAUUUCAAUUAGCGACUUAUAAUCUAGUUUGAUUCACGCAUUCUUUACAAUCAAUAAAGUAAUAAUAUAUAUAAUUUUUUUAGACAAAUUAAAUCUAUCUCAAUCAUGACACGAAUUUAUUCCUAACAGGAAUUCGAAUGAUUAGAAUGCAUUAAAAUUUAGAUUAUAUAUAUGAUUGCGCAUCUGAUAAAUGUUAUUCCUAAUAUCUAUUGCAUAUAUGUUAAUUUUGAUGUGUUCUAAAUUUAUUAUGAGUCUUCCAACACUAUAAUAAGCAACGAAUUAUGUAAUUGGUGGUCAACCAAUUAAAUAAUGCAAUGGAUAUGCAAAAUUAAUCAAGAAAUACUAAACUACAAGUCUUGAAUUAGAAAUAAAAAACAAAUGGGGUUCAUCUUUAUCCAAUACAAAAAAGGGAAUAAAGCAUAACAUAUUAAUAUAUAAAUUACAAGAAAAAUAUCACCUGAAUCAUGAAAUAAUUCAAAAGAUGUUAAUCUUUAUGUCCAACAUUGAAUUAUUCAAAAUCUCGAUGUAAUUGAGCUCCAAUUCCUUACUGGGGGCUUGAUAACCUCUAUCAAAAUAUAGUAAUUGGUCCCUUAUUCUCAAUGAAUUUAAUGAUACUAUUGUGUAUGGAGAGUCAAGGGAGAGUUGUUCCCAUGUGUAGCCCUUGUUUUUAAUUUAUAAGAGCCAAAAAAUGAGACAAAAAUCGUGUCUAAUUUAGGUUCAAAAAGAGUUUGAAUCAUGAAAAGAAAUCGCUAAUUCAUUUGCGAAAAUAACCCGUGCAUGUGCACAUGCAUAACUCCCGCGCAUGCAACAUUGAGCCAAAAUGGCUCUCGGGUUGGUGAAAACAAUGUACCACACAUCGAUUUGAAUCACGAUAUACCUAAGCAGCUUUCAAUAUGUUGAUCAUAAUUUUCUUUUUCAAUAUCCGAUUGAGGCAAUUCAAACAACAUUGUAAAGAUAACUCAAAUGGUACAAAAUAUAUAAUUUCUCCAGUUCAAACGUUAACUAUUCGAAAAAUGAGUUUUAAGUUGAGACAAAAAAUUCGGAGCAUAACUUUUUCAGCAGAAAAUUGAUUUGUGAAAAUAUUUCAACUAUAUCUUAUUCGUUUGGCUUUAAAUUGCAUUCAAUUGAUCAUAUGUUAUCUUCACUCAUUAUUUAUAGUCCGAAUCAAGUAUUAAAUAUUUACACUUUGGUCCUCAAACGUUAGAUUUCUUUCGUUUUGCCCAUUUUUCAUUCAUUUCUUUCAAUUCCACCAAUUUGCCUCGAGUUUUACUUAGGGUGUGUUUGAUGCACCCAAAAUUUCCAUGGAAAUUGGAAAACCAAUUCCAAUUCCAUGUUUUUGCUUAUUUGAUGGCUCUAUUUUCUCAUGGCAUUCAUUUUCUAGCUUUUCAUGUCGAAUGGUGAGAAUUGGAAUUCUCGGUUAUUGUAGCAUUUUUUUUUUAUUUUUUUAUUUUUUUGGCAAUGGAAACAAAUUCUAAAAAUUAUUUAAAUUUUUUCCCUUUAACUAGCAAUUUUCAUGUAAACAAAGCACACGAACACCAAACAACAAUUUUAUUUCAACAUUUUUUACGUGAAAAAUUAUAUCAAUAAAACAUAAUAAUUUACAAUUUUCAGAAAAAUAAUUUCUAGGCAACUUAAUUCCCUAGAAUUCGUUUUCCUUUCACUCAAGUUCCAUCUUUACAAUCAAACGGACCCUUAAUAAACAAAGUUUAAGUUAUCAAAAUUUAUUACAAUUAAUCUCAUUUAACGGCUCAAAUAAGUGUAUAUUAUCAAUAUAUUAUAGUGGGAUAUAUAUAAAUUGGUAUAUUAAAAAGUAAAUAUCUUUAUUAUUAUCUAAUUUGUGAAAUUAAAAGUAAUCCUCCUUAUUUUUGAAUAGUAUGCUUUAUAUGUAGGGUUUCGGUUAAUUUUCCCUUUAAAAGUUAACAUAAAAUGUAUCUUCUGUUUGACUUCUUUAAAGCUAAAUAUUUUUAUUUUUCAUACAAUUUCAAUUAUACAUUCAUAUAAUAAAAUAUUCUAUACAUAAACUCAAAACUUUUUUUUUACUUUUUAAUCACACAUUCUACAAAAAUCAUUAUCGCUCAAAAAAUUCUUUCAAUCUUCAAGAUUAUUGCAAUAAAAUUCUUCAAAUAAAAAAUUAACUAUAAAUUUUAUUUCAAAGAUUUUAAUUUUAUGAUUGUAUAAACUUUCAUAUUUUGUUGUUCAAUUUCAUCUCAUAUUUAAAGGCAUUGAAAGUCAUUUUUCCAAGUAACAUACUCAUCUUACUUUGAAGAUAUUUGUUAUGCACUGUAUGAAAAUUCAACUUUGGACUUUGUUUAGCUAUGAUUGACUCAAAUUGGGCGUUUGAGAAUUUUUAAUGUUUUUAUUUGUGUUUGUAUAUAUGAAAAGUCAAUUUUGGAUGAAUAAUGAUCCGAAUACAGGGCAAGAUUCAUACAGGGGCCUUACAGGCCCCUCAUUGUAGAAGGCAGGUUGAUGGGUCCAACCUAAAUUUAGAAAAAAAAAAAAAAAUUCUCACGGGCCCCACCCCCUUGUGUCUACUCUGGCUGCCCUGUAUGUGAAGCAUCCUUCAUUUUGGAUUAAUGGUUCUGAAUUAGUAUACAUGAUAAUUCAACUUUGGAUUAAUGUUUCUGAAUUAGUAUACGUGAUAAUUCAAAUUUGAAUUAAUGGUUUGAUUUAGCAUACAUGAAAUGGAUCAAGUAGAAAUAUGCAUACAAGGUAUUUGUGGAAAUGUAAAUAUGAUUAUGAAUUAAAAUGCUGCAUUUGUAUUAGAAAAUGUGUGCUCUAUCACUUUUUAAUAAGAAUGUCAUACGCUAUCUAAUUUGAAUUUUUAUAUCACUUUUUUUAAUUGGAUAUGAAUUAAGGUUGUCCAUUUGAAAAGUGACAGAACAUGUCACUUUUAAUUAAAAGGUCAAGCGGUGUUUAAUAUCGACGUUCAUUACGCAUAGAUAUCACAAUGGUAUCAAGAUAUAAUAGAAGUAAAUGUAAUUAUGAAGGCACACAACUUUUAGAAGUUGGUAGUUUUGAAACAAAACAAAUAAAAUAAAAAGGGUAAUUGAAACAAAACGUCCUUACCUUUCAAGCUCAUUGUGGCAAACGUCCUCAUCUUUCAUUUUUUUUGGCAUUUUUGCCCUCAUUUCAACAUUUCUUUGCGCUGGAUAUCCUUUUCACCUAUUUUUCAUUUAAAAUGAUAUUUAUACAAAACAAAAAAGAAAAGAAAAGAAAAGAAAUUUGCAUCUAUAGGCCCAAAUUUUUAAAAACUUCAAAUGAGUCCAAAUUUCAAAAAAUCUGUCACAUUCUUCCACAAAAAUGUCAAAAUCUUAGUGCUUUGAAAUAUUUUAUUGCUAAAACUGAUGGACCCGCCACCUCCCAAUUGCCAAAACACCACCUUGUCGCCGACUAUGCCACCGGAUAAGAUCUCUGAGAUUGACUAGCCAACUGGGUUCGUUUGACUAUUCUUUUCUAUUGAAAAGGACUCGACUGACUGACAAGGGAAAAGAGGAGUGAAACCAUUCGACCCCUUCAUUGGUAGUAGAACAACCACAACACUCUCCAACAAACAAUCAAUAGAAACCACCACUUUGACCAAGAAAUCAAUGCAAAACAACUACAGUUUUUGCCCCCAACACCAACUGAAACCAUCACUUCUAACAACUCCCAUGCCCGUCAACCACCACCAUUCACCUCGCCUCAUCUAGGCGAACAUUUUGAUGGAUCAACAUCAUCAAAAAUAGCCCCAAUAAACGUAUGCAAUUUCUGUGAAAAAAUGACUAGUUCCGACACAUUACGAGGCAGUCGCACCUAUAUCAAUUGACGAGUCCUAUAUUGUUUUUCCAUCCAAUGUUCAACACCAUCAUACGAUCCUGGUUAUGCUAUCAAUUGAAUUAUUUGAUCCCCCAGUUGAUCCAAUUUUGGAGUUAAAAUCAGCCCCAAAAUGGACAGACCUUCCAGCUACCAAUUCUCUACUUUCUGCUGGGGCCCACGCCAUAGCAAACCGUCCAUUGGAUUUAGACUCGUGAAAAACCCCCCAUUGCUAUUAAUGUCAUUCUUAUGAAAAUUGAAAAUAGAUUUUAUUUAUUCUACAUGUUUGUUUAUAGAAGAAUUGGGCAAUUUAUAAGAAAUUGUUAUGUGAAAGAAGGUGACAAUUUUUAUUUUUUUUGAAAUUUGGACUCAUUUACAGUUUUUAAAAAUUUGGGCCUAUAGGUGCAAUUUUCUUUUCUUUUCUUUCUUUGUUUUGUAUGAAUAUGAGGGUAUUUUGGUCAUUUUAAGUUAAAAAUAGGUGAAAAGGAUGUCCAGCGCAAAAAAAGAUUGAAAUGAAGGCAAAAAUAUAAAAGGUGGGAACAUUUUCCACAAUGAACUUGGAAGGUAAGGACGUUUUGUGCCAAUUACCCAAAUAAAAAUGAUAUGAUGCAAUUAUAGAUUUGUUAAACUUAUAAUUCGAUGACUACAACACUUCAAAUACUACUACCUAUAGAAAUUUUUGAUGUUAAUGUAUAUAAAAACAUGUCGGGAGUUGAAGAAAUCAUGAAUAAAUAGAAAGUAAAAUCAUUUCAAUUAUAGUUAUGAAAAAGAAGAAAGAAAGUUGACAUAUUUAUGAAGCUCAAGUGUUUUGAGUUUUUUUUUUUUAAUAGUUAUUUUGCUUUUAUAAUUAGAAUAUAUACUAGAGACUUAUGUUAUUUAUACUAAUGGAAAAAACAACUUCAUUAAGACACUUCUGAAAUAGAAAGUGAUGUAUAAUAUCACUUACAUAUAAUUUGAUUUGUAAGACAUACGAAAGUUCAAAUGUUUUCAAAGAAUAAUGUUAUGUAGUCCUAUCGGGAUUGCAACCUCAAUGUAGGUGACACCAAAUGAUAGAUUAAAUGAAAUGUGAAAUUAAAUGAGUUAUUUAAUUCUACCUAUUAAUUAAUGCCACAUUUGCGUCACCUAAACUGGGGUUACAAUCCCAAUAAGGCUAAAUAGUAUUACUCAUUCCAAAAUGGUCUUGCUAGCCUCCUUGUUUUUGCACCUCAGUAAUUACAUGCAAAACAAGGGUCAUUUUUCAUAUGAAUUUGAAACAUCUUCAUUCUCUGGUAUAUACUGUUAGAUGAUACUUAUUUCAGAAAAGAUUUGUCAAUUGAAACAAAAGUAACAUAUGAUGUCACUCUUGAAGCAAGUUAGAACGAAAGUAGCAAAUACUUUAAAAUCGAAUUUUAAGUAAAAUUUAUUUUUAACCAAAGAUUAAUGAUAAUUGAGGGUAUAAAUCUAAUUUCUUGAUUUUAGUUCGUACUGGAUCUAAUUUCCUCAAUUUGUUAAGUCAACAUUUGAUAGCCCUUGUUAAUAAGUCCAGUAUUAUUUAACAAAUAUCAUAUAAGAACUUGACUUGAUGAGCCUGCAAUGUAUACCAAAAGUUUUGGACUGGACAUGAAAGGCACAAAUCUUUUAAUAAAAGUUAAAAAAAAAUAAAAUAAAAAUGGACUCCCUAGAAUAGUUUCGACUUAAAAAAUAUGAUAUAGAGCGUUACAAGUUUACAUUGUUAUAGUCUAAUAAAAAAUAAUUAUUACAUAUAAAUAGAUAAAUUUGUUUAUUCAAAAAUUUAUUCAUCGAGUUAGGUUAUCACGUAAAAUAUCUCACACGAAUAUCUGAAAUCAAAUAAUAAAUUAAUGAAAGAUUUUUUAAUUUAUACCAUUAGUAAAUAUCGAAUAAGAAUAAAGUUAUUUGUACAACUGUUGUUGACAAUUGUGGUUAACAACAUUGAUGUUGUAAAAAUCUGUACCAUUGAUUUAAAAAAUAAUUUUUAAAAUGGAUGAAUGUGAUGUUAUUAAAAUGCGUGUUGUCAACAAAGAUGGUAAAAAUAAAUAUCGAAUAAUCCUAUUAUUAUCAUCUCAAGCGAAUCUACCCCCAAACACUGCCUGAUUGUUGGUCGACCCGAUAGAUGUCCCCCAUGUCCCAUUCCCAAACAAAUUUCAGUUCUUUUUCUGCAUUGUGUCUACCCAAAAACCUAGUCUCCCAAUCCGAUAUCACGUUAUAUCACGUUAUCCAAUCAAUUUGACCUAUCCAAACCCAACCUCUAUAAAUCCCAAAUUUGUUUAAGCCAAGCAGUAAUCUGCAAAAACCUUUUCAAGCUCUCAAUAAUGGCGUUUUUCAAACCUUCGAUUUGUUUUCUUUUCCUUUUCUUUUUUGUAUCUAGUGCUCUUGAUAUGUCAAUCAUAACGUACGACCAGAACCACAACAUGGGCCAUACUCUACGACGUUCCGACGAUGAACUCAUGUCUCUGUACGAAUCUUGGCUUGUGAAGCACGGAAAGGCGUACAAUGGCAUUGGAGAGAAGGAGAGGAGGUUCGAGAUUUUUAAGGAUAAUUUGAGGUUUAUCGAUGAACACAACUCCGUCGAUAGAACGUAUAAAGUCUGGCUGAACCGUUUCUCUGAUCUGACCAACGAGGAGUACCGGUCUAUGUUCGUGAGCGGUAAAUUGAACAGGAAAACUCGGUUGAUGAACAGUGUGAAGAAUGAUCGUUAUACGUUUAAGGCCGGCGACAAGCUGCCCAAGUCCGUUGACUGGAGGGAGAAAGGUGCCGUUGCUCCGGUCAAGGAUCAAGGCCAAUGUGGUAUGUUUCUAAUUUAUGCUAUAUAAAACUUGUAAGUUGUAACAUCUCCGGUUCCAAUUCGUCAGUAGAAACCCUAUAUAUCUACUGUGCACAUAUAUAUGUUUCGUGUGAAAUUUUUAUGCUUUCAUGGGACGAGGAGACUUGAAAAGGCGAUAAUGGGACCCGGAAGAUGGAUUUUUUGAUAUGAGUCCCGGGUCGGGUCAUUGGUGGUUCUAAAGAUUGCUACUUUUUGUUUGUUUGUUUCUGCUAGGAUUCUACACUCUUAAUUAUUAGGAAAUCAAUAAUUUUAUCAUUUUGUACUCUUCUUCGAAUUGGAGGGAAAGUUAUAUAAGGAUAUUUGUUCCUUUUUUGUCAAUUUAACGAAGCAUAUCUAGAAAAUUAAGGGUUUGUAUCAUCAACACUUGAGGCCUAUUAGCAGAUUAAGUUCAACAUAGGUUUAUCUAAAACCCCAACAAUAAUUGCAUCACAAAUAUCGAGUUUGUUGACGGUGCUUGGACUCCUUGAUGUGGGAUACUUCCAACCCUCGAUUCUUUAUUUCGUUGAAAAUACAACCAAAUACUAGAGUUCAAAAUUUGUUGUGGUGUACUUGACAAGUGAUUUAUUGGUAGUUCAGGUUAUAUGUGAUCGAGUUCUAAUUGAAUUGGAUUGAUAGAGUUCGGUUUGAAUUGAAUUUGUUGAGGUGUAAAAACUGGUCUUUAUGUUUUACACAGAGAUUUUGGUCGAUAGAGCUCAUCCUCCGAUUGUAUUCUAUUGUUGCCUAAACUCCUUAGACAAGACAUUCUCGUAAUUGUGGAGCAAGCAUUAUUUUUUAUCACUACCAAUAUCUAUUUUCUUUGUUAAACUUCUUGAUUUACUUGAAUAUAUCCAAGUCUCUAGUAUCGUAGUUGAUAUUGGAAUCUAUGAACACUGUCUAUAUAAUUUGGCCUUGGUAGCUAAUGAUUUGGUUAUUUUCUAAUGAAGGGAGUUGCUGGGCGUUCUCGACUGUCGGUGCUGUUGAAGGGAUAAACAAGAUUGUAACUGGCGAGCUAAUAUCUUUGUCAGAGCAAGAGCUCGUUGAUUGUGAUACGUCGUACAAUCAGGGAUGUAAUGGUGGUCUAAUGGACUAUGGGUUCGAGUUUAUAAAAAAGAAUGGUGGGAUCGAUACAGAGGAAGAUUACCCUUACAUAGCACGCGAUGGUACUUGUGAUCAAAAUCGGGUAUAGAAUAUGAAUUUUAGGUUUUUUAAUGUUUUUCUUUCAAAUUCUGUUCUUCCCAUUGCGAGUCAUUAGUUUUUGCUGUUGAGAUCUUUUUCAGAAAAAUGCUCGAGUUGUUUCCAUUGAUGGUUAUGAAGAUGUUCCAACAAAUGAUGAACAGUCAUUAAAGAAAGCCGUGGCUAAUCAACCUGUUAGUGUUGCCAUUGAAGCUGGGGGCAGGGCUUUCCAACUCUACCAAUCGGUAUGACAUUAAGAAUGCAUUUCCAGCAUUUUAUGGAAGUGCCAUAACCUUGUAAUGGCUGAAUGUUUACCUAUAUGUAACUUUUAGAGUUGAACAACUCCAUCGUUUAUGAAGUGUAGCCUGUUAAGCUACUUCUUCCUCACUGACCCACCCCUCCCUCCGCCUUUCCUCAUGCAUAGUCGAGUGGCAAAAUGCUGCCUCCAAAGACUUUUUUCCUUGUAUUUUUGCAUCAAACACAUUUCUCCGACUAGUUAUCAUGCGAAUAAUAUCAGCAUUUGCUGAGCAAGCUAAGCUAUAUCACUUACUGACAAUGUUGUGUAUUCUUGUACUGUUAAGGGUGUCUUUACUGGACAUUGUGGAACACAACUAGACCAUGGUGUUGUUGCUGUUGGAUACGGUACAAAAAAUGGCCUAGAUUAUUGGAUCGUGAAAAAUUCAUGGGGUCCAAAUUGGGGGGAGAGUGGGUACAUCAGGCUCCAUCGCAAUGUGGCUAAUACAAAAACAGGGAAGUGCGGGAUAGCAAUAGAGGCCUCGUACCCUCUCAAGAAUGGUCAGAAUCCUCCUAAGCCUGGACCUUCCCCUCCAACCCCAGUUAAACCUCCGACUGUGUGUGAUGAUUACUACACCUGCCCGGAAGGAAGCACAUGCUGCUGCUUGUACCAGUAUGGCAACUUCUGCUUUGGCUGGGGAUGCUGCCCGUUGGAGUCUGCUACUUGCUGUGACGACCAGUCGAGCUGCUGCCCACAUGACUAUCCCAUCUGUGAUCUUAAAGCCGGAACUUGCCUAAUGGUAAUUCUAUCAACAUCUUACUGCAAUAUCUUCCUUUCUUUUUCAUGAAAAGCUAUUGAUACUGAUAUUGUAAUAUGGUGUGGCAGAGCAAGGACAAUCCGGUGGGAGUAAAAGCAUUGAAACGAGGCCAUGCUAAGCCGAACUGGGCUGGUGUACUUGGUGAUAGGAAGAAUCCGAGUUCUUGAGAAACCCUGGACAAAUUAACAAGAUUUCAAGCUACGUCUUUGUAAAUAGUUUUUCUUUUUCAUUUCCAUCUGAAACUUGAAAAGACGUUAUUCUAAUCUGUCAUGUGAUCUUGAAUCUCUAAUGGUUGCUCUUAAAUGUUUCAAUUAAGCUAAAUGUUUUUCUUAUCAACCUUUCUUGUUUGGUUUGGAUCAUGCAAACAUAUUAUGAUUACUUAAAACAGUCGCUGAUAAAUUAGUCAUCUAGCAAUUACUGUAAAUUUUUUUUUUUUUUUUUUGAUAACCCAGGUGUCCCAACUUAGCCGGACUAAAUCCUGAACCUCUAGCCCCCAGCCCCUCAGUGACUAGUGGAGGUAAAUCGCAGGUUGUGCCCUUGUUGGUUCUCAGGUUCCCACAUGACUUUUACUCCUUCCCCAAAGGGACCCUCUUCCAUUGUUAUUACAUCACCAAGCUGCUCCAACCCUUCCUCUGGUUAUUACAUCACUUGGCUGCUCCAACCAGGAAUCGAACUCCCCACACUUGGUUCCAGAGCCCCCCAAUGUGAUUGUUUAGCCAACUUGGAUGUGCCCUGGGGGGCCAAUUACUGUAAAUUUUUGUUGCAUGGUUCGUUGUCAUAGACAUAAUGGUUCUCUUUAUUUAUUUAUUUUUUUUUUCGAGAGGAUGGAGGAAAAUAUCACUUCGACUUAUGUUUGGUACAGAUGUAAAGUAAAAAAUAAUUUAUUCUAUUUGAGAAUGCAUAGUAGAACAUUGGAGAAAAGGUAUAUGUCCUAUAGAAUGCAUCAUUCCAAGUGCGAAAUUAGGUAAGUGCGAAAUUUGUGGAGGGGUGAUUUUGGAGAUCCUGGGUGAUUUUUCCUUUCUGCUAGGGCAGCCACCAUGGCCAACCCUAGGGCGCCACCACCUACACAAUUGGGUGGCGGAGGAGUGAUAGCUCCGGUGGAUAGAGGAAGAACCUUUGCUAAUAUAGUGGGGGAGAAGCCAACUUCUCUGCCAGACAUUGAAAUUCCAUGGAAAGAGCCAAAGACGAGUCCUAAUGGCCAAGUAUGGUAUCAAUUCACACAUGAAGAAAUCCAAAAAACGUCCGAGCCUCUGAAGUAUGCGAUAAUUCUCAAAUUCUUGAGGAAACGCCCAUCUGUUGACGACAUUCAGGGAUACAUCAAAUCACGAUGGGGACUCUCAGAGAUGCCAGUAACUGGGGCCAUGAGAAAUCCGCAACAUGUUCUGAUAUGCAUUACCAAUGAAGCAGAUUUUGUAACGGCCUGUUCAAGGGAGAUAUGUGACAUCAAUGGCGUGCCGUACAGAUUGUUCAAAUGGACAUCAGACUUUAGAGAAGACAAAGAACCUCCUUUUGCUCCGGUAUGAAUCUUCCUUCCUGGACUACCCCUAAUUUCUUCAAUCAAUCAACUUUGCAAAUUUUGGUUGGGGGAAUCGGAUGUUUUCUGAAGUGUGACAAUGCCACGAUAUGUGGUUCACGCCCCACGGGGGCAAGAGUAUGUGUGGAGAUGGAUCUGACGAAACCAAGAUUGGAUUCUUUCUGGAUUGGCCCUCCAAGGCAUGGUUCGAGCCACCAUCAAGAAAUUGUUUAUGAAACUUUACGAGCAUUCUGUCAACGCUGCCAUAUCCAGGGCCAUUCUGAUAGAACCUGCAGGAAACUUAAAUCAAUCCAGAGAAAAAAAAUUGUGGACGACAGAACCAAAAUAGAAGAUAAUCUGAUAAAGCAAAACCGUAUGCGCCAAGUUUAUAGACCUCUCAUACGCACAAUGGAAGCGGGGGAAACAUCAAAGAACAAAUUAUCUUUGGAUCCAACGUCUACAGAAAAUCAGGUUAUAGGGGAAAUGACUGAAGUAUUAACAGGAAUGAAUGAGAAUAAAGACGAGCCAGAGAAACAAACGCCUCCUUCCAUUGUGGAGACUGAAGUGGAGACUGUUUUGCUUGAAGAAGAUGGCAAACUCACUGAACAUAUUCUUGUUCAACAUCAGGAUGGGUGCUUAUCACUGGAGAGAAACACAGAGAAUGAUCUUCUUCCCCAGGAAUUUGGUGACCAUCGAGACUUAAUACAACAGGAAAUUUUUAUUCAACACGUGCAGGAGGCGAUUGAAGUAGAAGUGAAUAUUUCAAAGGAACCAAUACAGAAAACGAACACUUUGUUGUAGCCCCCAAGUCAAGUGGAUUUGAAUGAUAAUCAAAUUGCAGAUAACAGAAAAAAAUUUCUGAACUAUUGCAACAGAAAAAAAUUUCUGUCACAUGUCCAAAUGGCGAGGACUUGGAGGGUGAAGAUGGAAAAAUGAGACAGGAAGGAACCACCAUACCUCAACGUCAGAAGAAGAGAAAAUUUGUAAUGCUGUCAGAGGUAAUAACACGCUCUAAAACUUUUUCUAAAUGAUAGACAAAAUAUUGAUAUGGAAUGUUCGAGGUCUGGGAACAUCAAGAACCCAACUCAAUGAUAUGAUGGUUAAAUUUAAUCUAAGUGUUGUAGCAAUUUUGGAACAUGUACAAUCUGUUUUGAAGAUUAGAAGAUGGGCGUGCAGAUUACGUCUUCACAACUGUUUUUCUAAUCAUUUAGUCAAUGGGAAAAUCUGGCUUUUUUGGUAUGAUGACUUAUUAUUUGAGGAAGUAAUGGUUUCAAGUCAACAUAUCACUGGUAUAUUUACUAAGGAUGGAGUCUCUUGUCUAGUCACUGUGGUUUACGCGAGCUACUUUCAAAUUGGUCGUGUAGAUUUAUGGAGGGAGUUGGUUUCUAUACGACGACAAGACAUACCUUGGAUAGUCGGUGGUGAUUUCAAUAUAUUUCGUAGCGAUGUUGAAAAGGUUGGUGGGACACCAAAACCAAAUCUCCCAAAGCAGGAAUUUAAUGAUUGCAUAUCAAACUGUGGCCUACAAGAACUCCAAACAGAAGGCACUAUUUUUACAUGGUGCAACUUACAAGAAGGAAAAAGUUGUAUUUGGGAAAAGUUGAACAGAAUUUUAGUUAAUAAUUCUUUUCUAACCCAUUUUGGAAUGGCUUGUGCUAAGGUUUUCUCUAGAUCCAACUCUGAUCAUUGCCCAUUGUUAGUUCAACUUUUGGCGCAGCAAGAACAUUAUGGUCCACCACCUUUUUAUUUUCAACGGAUGUGGGUAGAUCAUGCCGAAUUUCUACCCCUUGUCAAAGAAAAUUGGGAGAAGCCAACUAGAAGCUCAGGUUUAUUCAAACUUGGAGAAAAAUUGAAGAGGCUAAAACCAAUUUUGAGAAAGUGGAACAAAAUCGGCUUUGGGAAUAUCAAAUGUCGCAUUGUGGAUCUAGAAGACAAAAUUGUUAGACUAGAAGAUCAAGUCUUAAAUUUCGGAAAUGCGCAAGAUGAAAAGGAAUUAAUUGCAACAAGACUUGAAUUGAAGGAUUGGAUUAAGCGGGAAGAAAUUUGCUUGGCACAAAAAAUCAAAGUGAAAUAGCUAAAGGAGGGGGACGCCAACACCAAGUUCUUUCAUGCGUCAAUUGCAAAACGUUGAAAAAAAUAUUGGUAUUACAGCAUGACAUUACAGGAUGGAUCCACACUUGACAGCCCGGAAGCAGUUUACGAUGGAGCAGUUAAAUUCUUCCAUAAGCUACUUACGACUGAAAAUGUCGUACCGAGGGUUGAACUUUUGAACUCAUUGCUUACACCGAGCAUAUCAUUGGAAGAUAAUACCAUAUUGUUUGAGGCUCCAUCUCGCGAGGAAGUUAAAAUUUCGAUGGAAAGCAUUCCACAUGAUAGUAGCCCGAGACCUGAUGGUUUCUCAUCGAGUUUUUAUAUGAGCUGUUGGGAUAUCAUUGAAGAAGAUGUUUGGGAGGCUGCAACUGAUUUCUUUAGUGGGUCUAUGCUACCCAAUUUUUACACAUCAACUUACAUUGUACUUAUCCCAAAAGUCAAAGGUCCUGGCAGCUUUGGAGACUUCAAGCCCAUUAGCCUAUGUUCAGUGAUUUACAAAUGCUUUGCUAAGGUAAUUGCGAACAAAAUUGAAACCUCUACUUCCAAAAUUUAUCUCGAAGGAACAAGGGGCUUUCAUCGGGGGCCGGAGUAUUUUUAACAAUAUUGCCUUGGUACAAGAAUUAAUUCGGAGUUUUAAUAGGAAGAUACGAGGAGGAAAUGUAAUGCUUAAAGUAGAUAUUAUGAAAGCGUACGAUAGGGUUGAAUGGAAUUUCUUGAUGGCAGUCUUAAACACUUUCGGCUUCUCUACACAAUUUCGCCAAUUAAUACAGAACUGUAUUGACGCACCUUCAUUCUCGGUGAUGAUGCAUGGCACUUAUCGGGGAUUUUUCAAAUCUUCCCGGGGAAUCCGUCAAGGAGAUCCUCUCUCUCCAUAUUUGUUUAUUAUUGCUGAGGAGACUCUUACACGCAUGUUAACAAAGGCUUGUUUGGAACAACGCAUUGAAAUUUACUCUCUCCCUAUUGGGGCACCUCAUAUCUCUCAUCUACUAUAUGCUGAUGAUCUAAUUAUUUUUUGUAAUGGCAAUAAAACGUCUAUUAAAGCGGUGGUGGAAAUCCUAGGCAUUUAUGAAAAUAUGUUUGGGCAGAAAGUGCAUCACCGAAAAUCAGCGAUAUUUUUCUCGAAGCACAUGUCCUUGCAGAGGAAAAAUGAAUCACUCCGUUUGAGUAACUUCACACAAGGGUCUUUCCAAUCACAUAUUUGGGGGCUCCAAUAGCCCCGGGUCGUUUAUGUAUCAGACAUUUCGAGCCGCUGAUUAUGAAGGUGAGAAAGAAAAUAUCUGGCUGGAAAUCUUUACUCUUAUCAGUUGGAGGAAGAUUAACUCUUGUAAAGCAUGUUCCUUUAAGUAUGCCUAUACAUAUCUUAUCGGUUAUUUGCGUACCUCAAGGGUUAUUCAUCAAAUUCAUUUUUUAAUCUCAAAUUUUAUUUGGGGAGAGGCAGAUGGUAAAGCAAAGCGACAUUGGGUAAGCUUUGGAAAAAUUACCAAACCAUUAUCAGAAGGAGGAUUAGGCAUUCGAGACUUAGCAGAAGUACAAGUGGCUCUAAAAACAAGAUUUGCUUGGAAAAUUUGUUUCUCUGUUUCUCUACUACAAGAGUUCCUAAAAGCAAAAUAUUUUCUGUACAAUUCAUACAACGAGAUCCAGAUAUCAGCCUUAAACUCACCUUUUUGGAAGAGCAUAGCAAGUUUGAUACCUGCGGUAAUUGAAAAUUCGGUGUGGCACAUAAAAAUCGGAGAUGUUAAUUUCUGGCAAGAAAUUUGGUCUGGUCUAAGACCAUUAGCAAACCUGGUGGAGGUAGUGGAAUCUGAUUUGAGGCUAAAUGCAGUGGUGACCUCAAGAGGGUGGAAUGAAGAUGUCUUAUCAGAAUUAAUCGGGAAUGAUUUAGCUAAAGCUGUUAUAGACUUUGUUCCAAAGUUACGUGAAGGAGUGGAUACAAUUGUUUGAAAACCCUCUCUAGAUGGCUUGUUCAGCACUAGGAAUACUUGGGAACUCAUUCGAGACAAACGGGAGAGUGUAGAUUGGGAUAAAUGGGUAUGGCAUCCACUAAUUCCAAAAAGAAUCUCUUUCAUUACUUGGAAAGCUAUACAGAAUGCACUCGUUGUGGAUGAAAAAAUACAAAUGGUGGGGAUCCCCUUAGCAUCAAAAUGUGUAUGUUGUGUUACACCUCAUUGUGAGUCUCUCAACCAUUUGUUGGAUGGCAGUGACCUGGCAAAAUUUCUUUGGAAUCAGAUAUCGACGACGACAGGCAUCGCUAACACUCCAUCUUUGGGCCGGAGACAAAGAAUGAAUUUCUGGUUCUCCAAGGCAUCAAAAACGUCCCAAGUAGGCAUGAUUAUUGACUUUUCUCCUGUUUUGAUUUUCUGGGCGAUUUGGACAGCAAGGUGCAGAAAAAAGAUGGAAGGUGUGGACAUUAAUUAUGAUCAGAUUUGGGCUUCAGUGAAGUGGUGGUUGGGUGACCUAUGUGCCAAUGCAGCUAAGGUAUCUAGACUAUCUUCAUCCGAUUGUAUUGCACUACGAACUUUGGGAAUCCAAAUCAGAAAACCACAUAAUAAAGUCACUAAAUUUGUCCGUUGGAUACCUCCUCUCCCUACCUGGGUUAAAUUAAACAUUGAUGGAUGUUGCAUAGGAAAUCCUGGUAAUUGUGGUGGAGGUGGAGUGAUCAGGGCGGAUAAUGGAGAGUUCAUCUAUGUUUUUCACACUUUCUAUGGUCACGGUACUAACACAUGGGCGGAGCUAAAAGUUGUUUUGGAAGGCAUCCACGUAUGUGUAGAACAAAAUUUCCCAAAGAUUACAAUCGAAAGUGAUUCUCAAGUCGUUGUGAACUGGUUCCUCAAUAAAUGAUGUACAAGAUGAAAAUUGUGGAAAGCAUGGAAGGAGAUAAAUGAUCUCAUGAUUGGAAGAGAAAUGGUGUUCAGACAUGUUUUCCGGGAAGCAAAUCAAGUUGCAGACGCAUUAUUUAAAAUAGGUGGAAAUGGAAGCACGGCAACAUUUCGUGAUAUGGUAGAUCUUCCUGGGGCCGUUGCCAAGUUAUUUAUAUCAAAUAGAAAUCAUUUUCCAUACGUACGACGUUAAUAAAAGUUUGUCUUUAAAGUGAAUUUGUAAUAUGGAGUUUGUAUUCAUGGUAUUCCUCCGCCAUAUAUGAGGGCUGAUCUAUAAAAUCUGGAGUUUGUUUUAAAAAAAAAAAUGUCCUAUAGAAUGCAUGGUCCAGAAUAAUUUGGAAAAAAUUGAGUCGAACAAACUUUUAAGGGUCGAUUUUUAAAUAUACUUCUUAUGGUAGAGUAUUUACGUUAGAUGUUCCCAGAUUUUACAUGUGAUGCCCAUUCUUUUAUUUCUUCUAAAAGGGCUUCACGUCACAAUGCCUCUUUAACGGAAUUUCAUUCUUCUGAUGUACUUUGACUGACCUUAGGUGGAUACCCUUCCAAAAUAAAAUGGAAACUCGGCCAUGGGACUUAGUGAUAACUUAUUGACAGUGUCUAUUUUAUUUAUUUAUUUAUUAUUAUUAUUAUUAUUAUUUUUUUUGCACUAGAUUCGUAUUUAUAGCAAUCUUGAAUUCAACUCUUGAUUUCUUUCUUCUAACAAAAUGGAUGGUUUAGAAUUCUUCCUCGUUGGGUUUUGACACCGUCCCUGAAUUUGCCUCACAUCCCUUUCUUAGGAGAUGUGGAAUUAAGUUUCUUAUUUAUAGCACACUCAAACCCAAAUCUUGAUUUCUUUCUCGACUGAGAUUAAAAAUACCCAUUUAUAUUUUUCUUGUCGCUAUUCUAGAAAAAUCUUGUCAAUCUAUAUAUUGUAUAUGAAUAAAGAACAUAUAUAAGUCUUAAGUACUUAUUUGAUAAAUUUUUUUAAUCAAUUUUCAACAUGUCAUACUUCAAUUUUAAUCACAUAUUUUAUAAGAUUGUCCUCAUAUGUUGUAAGGUGAAAUGAUAAGACCAAUUAAAUGCGUGAUAUAAGAUCUAAUUUAGCCCCAAUUUGAAAACCAUUUUUGGGUAAAACAAAAUUUUGAAUAGUGAUAUUAGGAGAAUGCGUGGCUAAAAAGUGAAAAAAGUUUUAAACUUACAUGCAGAAUAUUUUAUUGUGUAAACGUGUGAUUAAAAAUAAGUGUGUGAAAAAAAGAGUUCAAAUAAUGAUUAUCAAUCAGGGGCUUAUUGAUAUUAUCAUUUUAUGUCGUGGAUUCGUCCCCCGUUUGUACAUGUACUAUUAGUCUUAUCAAACUUUGCUACAAUUUUUUAUUGAAAGUGUCGUCAAGCACUCUCUAAAUUACAUCAAUUACUUCUCAUUUUUAGUUAGAUUCAUUACUAGAUCGAUAUUGUCUACUUAUCUCCUUUCUAGCGCAAAACCAGAUCUUGUCAACUUAUGAUAUCAUUUUUUUAUAUGAAAGAUGAGGGAGCAUAAAGGAUUGAAAGUAAUAGAAAUAGAAGGCUUGUAUACUCGAUGAGAAUUUUGUUCUCAAAGGGGUGUUUGCUGUCACUCAUUCUAUAGCACCGAUGAUAUGACAAGCCUUUGAGUGUGCACCAAACAAAAACGAAAACUGAUAACGGAACACUUUGAAAAUCUGAACCUUCAGACUUUCGAGGCAGAUUAUGAAAGUGUGCAAGUUUUUUUAUUAUUUUUUUUUAUCUCAUGUAAAUGCCAAAUAUUUUCUAAUCCUCCAUGAACACAUAAGUAUUGAUCUUUGAAAACUCUGCAUGAACUAUUACUCGAGUGAAAACAGAGUACAACAAGGUAAAAAGCCUUGCUGCCCUCUCAAUCGAGCGAGAAACGAUUGCAACAAGGCAAGCCUUACAGCAUUACAUGUUCAAAUGAUCAGUAACUGUAAGCAAGGUUUUCCCUUGUUUGUCUCUUUGUUGGAAUAUUGUUCAAUAUAUAUUAUGAAAUGUGAUUUGAAGUGAACUAAUGUGGAUCAACCAUGAGAAAAUCAUUAGAGGCAGGGCUAUCACUUGACUUCAUAACUUAAUUAUCGAGGCAAUUUUCAAGAACGAGGUGAUCACCAAAUACAAAGUUCUACUGGUUGAGGUCUUGAAAUUUGGUGUCGUUUUGGUUAACUUCACACCCUUUUGGCUUGUUUCUUGCACCCUUUCGUGUGUGAUUGUUGAUAUUUUUUUUAUUGAUAAAUGUGAAUUUCUAUUGAUCAAGAUUAUAUACAAAUAUACUAGGCUUACAUAGGCAAACAACAUUCAAUUGAAGAUUAUAAAUACUCUGGGUAUACCGAGCAAACAAAAUGUAAGAUUUACAAAUGAUAAUAGCUAUAGGCCCGAUGCUAAAGACUCAAAAUGAUUUAAAAUAUGUGGAUACAAAGAAAACAUGACUUUGUAUACGUAUGUUUUAAUACGUCUAACAAUACAAUCAACUUGUGGUCUAAAGUUCUCAAAAAUCCUUUUAUUCCGCGUCAUCCAUAUGUGAUAAACUGUAGUAGCUAAAGCAAUUCUCUUGACCUUGCUUUGUCAAGUCGUUCCUUGAGAUUCCUUCUUCAUCUAUUUCUAUGAGCUUGAUAAAGUAGACAUAUUACGUGUGAUGGCUAGCCAACUGCGAAUCUGCUCUCAAACUGAGUUACUGAACGGACAAGAAGAAAAUAAGUGUUGUGCAGUCUCUUCUGUCUCUCCACAAAAGAUGCAAUUGUUGUCCAGUUCCAAGUAGUGAAGCUUAUCUUUAGUUAGUAAUCUGGACUGAACUUCCAACCAAAGGAUGAACGCAUGCUUUGGAAUGAUUGAGGCAUUCCAAACAAUAGGUGUCCAAAUUGCCUUAGUACCCUUCGGCCUGAAAAAUUCAUAAGCUGCCUGAACACUAAAUCUAUCGGCCACAACCCAUUCGGCCAGCCUGUGCAUUCCUGCAUGAAAGCACUGUUCAGGUCCCAUGACGUUGUCCCUAAUUUCCAGCACUUUUUAAGUAAGGGAGAGUUGUCUUUUCUCAUCAUGCAUUCCCGAAUGUUCGUGCCACGAAGAUGCACCUGAUUGACCCAUUUAAUCCAAAGGGUAUCCUUUUUACUAUGAAUGUUACAAAGUGUUUUUUAGAAUAGUGCAAAAUUCCAGCUUUUAAUAUCUCUAAAUCCAAGUCCUCCUUCAUGUUUUGGUAAACAAAUAUUGUUCCAAGCCACCAAUGGUUUUUUGGAUCCACAUAGGAAGUUCCGACAAAGACUAAUGACUUUGGAGGCAAUUGUAGCAGGUAUGGGUAAUAUGGAUAACCAAAAGCAUUCUACCCCUUGAAGAAUGGAUCUCACAAGCUCCACUUUCCCUGCAUAUGACAAAGAAGCUCUCAACCAUGCACCAAUAUAGGAUGAAAUAUUGUUAAUGAAGAAAUCAUAGCAGCUAACCUUUAAUUUCUGUACCGCAAGUGGGAUGCCCAAGUAGCGAAAUGGUAUGGUACCCUUUGGGAUGUUUGUUAAAGCAAGAAUACCCUCCAAUUCUUGCCCAUGAACUCUCACGGUACACAAGCUAGAUUUGUCAACAUUCAUUUUAAGUCCCGACAUAUCACCAAAUCUAGCUAAGCAAUUCAUCAAGAUACCAACCGAUAUAACAUCCCCUCUAGAAAAUAACAUCAAGUCAUCGGCAAAGUGCCAAGUGAGUGAUGCUUAGAGGUGCGCAUUUAGGAUGGAAGUUGAAUUCGCUAUUUUCGGUAGCUCAUUCUAGAAAAAUACUCUCAAGGCACAACACAAAAUAGGAAUGGGAAGAGAGGGUCACCUUGUCGAAGACCUUUCUUCCUCUUAAUGAAACCAUGGAUGCUCCUAUUAAGUGCAAUAGAGUAUGUAGGUGUUGUAACACAUUCCAUCACUCAAUGAAUGAAAGUAGUUGGGUAUCCCAACCCCUCAAGCACCCUUCUAAGAAAAAACCCAAUUAACCGAGUCAUGGGCCUUAUUUAAAUCAAUUUUAAGAAGACAUCUUGGAGCUACCUGUUUACGGUUAUAUUGCUUCAGAAACUCUUGGGCCAAAUGAAUAUUUUCUAUUAUACUUCUACCCUCCACCAAUGCGGCUUGUGCUUGGUCAAUGAUGGACUUAAGCAUAGGCCCCAAACUUGUGGAAAGAAUUUUGUGAUGACUUUAUAUAAUAUAUUACAACGAGCUAUGGUCUAUAAUCACCCACCGAAGUAGAGUGGUUCGUCUUGGGUACCAAUGCAAUAACCAUAUGAUUAGUUUGCUUAAGGAGAGAUCCCAAUGCAAAAAAAUCCUCAAUCGCCUCCAUGAAUUCAUCAGCAGCAAUAUUCCAGGAUUUUUUGAAAAAGCAUGAAAUAUAUCUACCCGGUCCCGUGACUUUUCAUCCCCAAUACUAAAGAGAGCAUCUUUGAUUUCAUGCCUCGUGAUAUCCCGAACAAGUCUCCUAGCAUUAUCGUCUGAUAAUAUAGGCCCAGUUCUCAAAAUUCCAGCAUCAAAAGUCUGAAUAAAACUGCAUUUUUCCAGCAAUUCGCUAUAAAAGUGAAUGAAUUUAUCCACUACCUCCUUUUGAGAAGAAGAUUAUAUACCAUCCCUUUUAAUAACAGCUGGAAUAUAGUUCCCUAUAGCAUUUCUCUUGAUCAACGAGUGGAAAAACUUUGUGCAUUUAUCACUUUCUUUCAAAUGCACACACUUUGUUUGUUGAUAAUAAAAGCUUCUUUCCGCUUCACCAAGUACCAUGGCUUCUUUCCUCAAAUGUGCAACAUCACUUUGCAAUUGAGAAUUAGUGGGAUCAUCAUGCAAAUCCUUUUGUGCCAAUUCCAAUAUCUUUGAAGCACAUUCAGCACUUGAAGAUAUGUGUGCAAAAUGUUUGCUAUUGAGCUUCUUUUAUACCCCUUUAAGACCUUGUAAUUUCUUCCAAAGCGAAAAUUGUUUGGUACCACAAACAACUUGGUUCCAGGUAUUAGAUACCACAUCAUGGAAAUCUUCAUGUUUGAUCCACAUAUUGAAGAAUCUAAACGGAAUGUUUUUGCUCCCAACUUCCCCAAAGAGUGAUACAAUGCAAGACGAGUGGUCGAAAAGGCAACUUGAUGUUAAAAAUGUAUCUUUAACAUCAAAUUUAUUCACUCACUUUCAACAUCAAAGAUCAAACUCUAUUUCUAUAUUUGUUCUUAAAAGUUAAUUUUUCAAGUUUGUUUGCUUGAUUCAAACUUGGAUUAAGGUUUCUUUACUUCUGCAAACUAUUUGCAUUUGAAGGCCUUCAAACACUUAUCCCGGUGGCGGCAAAUAUCUUUUGAGCAUGACUCAUAGUCAUGUUCAAACCUUUCGUUUUGGUGGAUUCUUGUUGCUGAACUUAUUUGUUCUUCGUCAAAUUCAUCACAACACUCUCUGCUCAUUGUUCCACCUAGAGUAAACAACUAAAUUGAAGUAGAUUUAAUGUCUCUUACACUUGAUCACAAACUAGCAUCUGAAUUUCGACCUAAAAUAGUUGGCAAUCAGCAGAGGUUUUGGGUUUUCUUGGGACCAAGAACCCUACUAAUGGCUUUCUACCAGCUAGUACUAUUUCGUUUACUAACUACUAUGUUUGUCCUGUCAUGAAUUUUGUACUGCACAUGAAAGACUUCCAAUCACACUUACAUACUCAAGUUGAGAAACUGUGUUUGGUACUCAUGCCACUUACAUAUAAGAAAAUGAAAUCUCGAAAAAUAUCGAGAAAGAAUUGACAAGUUGAAAUUCCAACUUUUGGCAUGGAGUAAAAUAUGGAGUAAAAUUUAUACAAUCUAAAGACAAUUUUAAUUAAUUUUUUUCCAUUCAUUUCCUUCCAAGAGUAGUCACAAUCUUCCAAAUUUAUUGAAAUUUGAAAUUCCAUUUUAAAAAAUCAACUUUAUUAAGAGGGGUAGCACAAAUACUUAUUUAUAAUUUUGAUAUAUAUUCAUUAACAUGUCCAUGAAAGAUGAUGUCUCGUUUGUUCAAACCAAUCUUGAAAUUUGUGUGUUUGCUAUGAGUCGUAAUUGGAUUGGAUUGAUUUUGUGAGUUUAAUGGGCUAUAUAAUAUUUAGACUCAUGGUUCCAUCAUAGAAAUGUUAAUCUUAUUGAGAGUGGUAACUCAAAAUCCUUAUAUGUUGAUUAUAAUUUUGAUAUUUAUUCGACGUCGGAUUUUUAUCUUAACAAAACUUUAGUGAUAGUGUGGACGAUUUCCUCGCUUUAUCCAGAUGUGAAAGACUCCAAUCGCCGUUAAAAGUCGAUUACUCAACCUUUGACUCUUAUGAAAUUAUUAAUUCGACUCUAAGUAAAACAUAAUAAUUACCUAGGUCAUAUUCGGUGCUUAAUCAGAGAGUAAGUGGAUAACUUGGUUUUAAGUGACAUCUAAUCACAAAAUCAUUUAAAGUUUGUUGGAUUGAGUUGACCAUCAUUACUAUUAAACCCGUCAUCUAGGGCGAGAUUUUGCAAUGAGGAGGUUUAUCGAAAUUAUGUUUAUCAAUUAUUUACUGGAAUAAUUGUGUUGGUUAAGAUGAAUCAUAUUUAAAAGUACAUAUUAAAGGAGCUGGUUAAGUCAUUGUAAGUUAAAAUCAACAAUUAAUUCUAAUAACAUAUUUCAUGUACCUACAAUUUUUUAACCGUAUGUUUUACGAACUUUUAUCAAAAUAUACUACAAAUUUAACUUUAAUUUCACCAAACAAAGGCUGAAGAUCAAUUAUGAAAAGACCAUAUUGCCCUUUUCCAGAGGUUUUUUUUUUUUUUUUUAUUUGAUAACUUAGGUGUUCAAGUUUCGUCUGACUAAUCCUGAGGAGAGGCGGCCUUCCCCCCCGAUUCACCACCCAGGUAAACUCGGAUGCAAUCACAGCUUAUACAUACUUGGACCAGACAUUUGGGAUGCGGUUUUCCUCCCUGUAAACCUCCCUUUACGAUGUGCGAACAGGAUUCUCGGAGGGACGACAAAACGCACCAUAAUUUUGCCUCAGAACAACUGCCUUCCAAUUGUCGUGAGGAUUCGAACCUCCGAUAAUCCGUAUAGAACCCUGCUAUUUUACCACUACGCCACGUUCGUGGACUCCUUUUCCAGAGUAUUUAUCCAUUGGUUAGUAGCAGCACUCGUAGUUAGUGGUCCAAUAUAGAAAGAGAAAUAUGAAAAGGAUUGAAGGGAAAGUCCUGAAUCUGGCAGAUAAGCCUCCAAUGAAGCCAUAGCUAGCAAGCCUAGCAAUUGCAUUUCACUUUUGCAUCUACUUCAAGGCAUGCAUGCCACAAAGCCAUACUUGAUGUUGGCUGGUUAGCGUAUAAUUGCAGUAAUGCUAGUUGCAUGUGCUUUUAAAAUCAUCUAGUGGGGUUGAGCUGUUAAAACGUAUUUAUUAGUCUUCUAAACUGCAUAAAGUAUGACUAGACGAUAAGACUAAACUUCAAGAUUUUUAAGAGCCUAAGUGAAGCCUAAGGUGUAGAAAAAAAAUGUAAAAUGUGACUUGCAAUAAGGUCAAACUUAAAUUCUAGAUGAAAUUUAGGCGAGCUUUUUAAAAUACUGAUAUUUUAAAAGAACAUUGCUCGUGUAUUUUUAGAACCUAUUGUUGUAUGUGUGCUAUAAUGUAUUCAUAUCUUGAAAUUUCUAAGAUUUCAUUUAUCGUAUUUUUGUAUAACUAUCUUUGAGGCCGAGUAAAUAUAUCUUUCAUUAGAAACUAUGGCGAUUGUUUCAUUUUAUUUUUUUGGGAGUAAUAGAAAAAGGACAUAAGCAACUUACUCUUAAGUUUAGUGAUGGACUCCUAAAAUAAAGGGAUCUGAAUUAGAUUUGUCCAAAUAUGCGGUGGUAGUUUUACCAAAAACCAAAGUUGACGAGGUCUUAUUAUAAGGGUAAUUAGUAAAAUCCUUAUCAUUUGUACGUGUUGCGCAAAUCGUCUAUAUUGUUUCAAACUUGACAUUUACAUCCUUAUUUCAAAUUUUUAUUGUGGUAUUGGUCCACCUCAAUAUGUCAAAUAUGAGUAAUUGAUGCUAAACAUCCAUAUAAUUUGCCUUCAUUGUACAAAUCGUCCAUAUUUUAAUUUUGGCAUUUGGUGCAUUAUAUCAACCAUUUCUUUGUGCAAAAGGUCCUCAUUAUCUAUUUUCUGUAUUAAAGAAUUGUAAAAAGGGCAAUUAUAUUCACACGACAAUUUUUUAUAUAUGCACCACAUUUUAAUUACAAAAAAUGUUUUCAAUAUUUACUCACUUUUGCUUUUAUGUCAUCAACUUUUUUCUUGUCCAAUUGUCAUUUUUAACCUUUAAUUAACUCUAAUCACAAUUUCAUCCAAAUAUUUUGCUAACGUGCAUUGAAAAGAUGAACAAAUAUUUUGUUUAACUUUGUAUUAGUUAUUUAUUUCGACUAUUUAUAUACGAGAGAUAAAUAUGUCUUUUUGGCCCUUAUAACAAACAUUUUGGACAAAAACCGUCUCUAUAGACAAGAUGUAAAAACUAAUAGAGAGUUGAUAGUAAAAAAAAUAAAAAAUAAAAAAAAGUUAAGAACAUAAGUAGCAAAAUAAGAACACUUCAAGAAUAUUUUUAGUGAUUAAAGUGUGGUGUAGUUAACAAAAUUAUGGUGUGAAUAUAUUUACCCAUUGUAAAAUGAAUAAUUUGCACUCAUGUUUAAAUGAAGAUAUAGAAAAGAAGAAAAGAAUAUAAAAAAAAUAUUAACUACUGCUAAAGUUUCAAAUUUUUAAAAAAUUACAAAUGAACCUCAAUAAAACAAUUUAAAUUUUAAAAUAUACUAACAAAAGAAAAAUAUUUCAUUUUUUAAUUAAAUCCAACCUACCCCUACUCCUAACCCCGACCUACCACCACUACCAUCAAAAUAAUUAAAAAGAAAGUUAAAAAAAUUAAAAAUAGAAAAACAAAAAACAAAGUGGUUUUUCUUCUCCAUCCAUUUCCGCACCCUGCCAUUGGCCGUUUCACCACCACCACCUAUUCUCCCCAUCCAGGGAUUUAGCAUUUUUCUUGUAAUCAAAUUUCAUGUUCCAAUAUCAUUUUUAUUUUCAGCAAAGUUAUAAGAUUUUUUUAGGGAUUUAGUUAUUUUCAGGAAAUUCUCGUUUUUAUCUUCUUGUUCUUGUUACCUACACAUAUAUAUACACAUGUACCCGCCCUCGGGGCAUAAAUCAGUGGUGCAAAGGAUAGGAGUGAGGUUAUCUCAGGCCUUGUUGGCAGCCGCAGUGUGGGGGUUCGAUUCCUGAAAUAUGGAAUUUGGCUCCUUGUAGGCGCAGUGUACGCCUCAACUCUUAUUUCCUGGCCUGUUGGGAUACAUCCCGUGAUUUACCUCCCUCACAAAACUUUAGGAGCGGGGCGAUGGGGGCUCUUAAGGUUGGAGUUCAACCUUUAUUUUUAUUUAUUUUUAUUUUUUUUACCCACUACAUCAACUUUGAAUUUUGUUUUAACUUUAUUCAAUUUAUUUAUUUAUUUAUUAUUAUUAUUAUUUAUUUUGCCUUAUAAAAUGACGUCCGAAGAAUGGAAUUUCUUCUUUCAUCAGAGGGUUCACUCAAAAUCUUAAUUCAAAUCCCAAUCCCAACUUUUCAAAGUCAAAUCCAGCUAAGAGGAAAAGAAAUCAUUUUUGUAAGAUGAUUUUUUUUAAUCAUGUUUUAAAUUACUUUAAUUGGACUUCGAUUGCACUAUUUAAAAAUUUUAGGACUUUGGCUACAGUUAUUAUUUUUUUAUAUUAUUAUUUUUAUUAAAGAUGAUGGUAAAUUAGUCACUUUACAAUACUAUAAUUAAAAAAAUAGACGUUCAGGACCUUUUGCAUAAAGAAAAUAACGAUACGAGGGUCCAAAUGCUACAAUUAAAAUGAUAGGGAUGAUUUAUGCAAUGAAGGCAAACGAUACAAACAUUUUGCUCUAAUUGAUGGAACAAGACGGGAAAACCAAUUUCGCAAGAAAAAGUUGAAAUGAGGGUGCAAAUACCAAGUUUGAACUGAUAGAAAUGACUUGCGCAAUGAGUACAAUGGGGAUAUUUUGUGUUAAUUACCCUACUCAUAAUUCCAACAUUUGAGGUGUCAAUUGAUAAUACAAGGAUGAAAUGGUCUUAAUUAUAUAUGUUAAGGGCAUAUUUGGUACGAGCUCUUGAAUAAGUUUGAACAAUAUAAUAAAUAAUAUUCUAACUUUUUCUUUUGGAAUAUUCUAUAUUGUCUAAUCUUUCUUAUCAAAUAUGCUACAGUAGAUAUUCGAUAAAAUCCACAUUGUAAUGGCCCCCAACACCCAAAUUUCGAAGUUCAUAUAGUGACUUCACAAAUUUUCAAUUGUCCAAGGGCAUCAAUGCAUCCCCCAACACGCACAUUAAAGGACUUUGACACAUUGGUUUCGUUGCCCUUCUGGUCUUUGGGAAUACCUAAUUAUUCCUUAAUUAAUCAAAGUAAUGCUAUCUAUUUAUAUUUUAAACGACUAAAAGAAGGACGUUGGGUCGUUUAGCAUUGAAUACGAACAAGUUCUGUGUUUCACAUUGAAGAUGCCAUAUUUAGUGUCGAUUGUAUUGUGCCAAUAGAGGAAACAUGUGCUCUAUCUUUGUGCGAGUGUUAAUUCAAAAUGAUUGUUAUUGACGAGUCAAAUUAUGAGUUAUGGUUACGAAUGAAAUAAUACUUGUAACUAAUUCUUCUCAAAAUGCAUUGAAGCGCAAUAGGAGAUUGAUUAAGGCCCCGUUUGGUAGGGAUUUUUUGCCCCAAAAAAUUGAUUUUUUGACCGUUAUUUUACUAUUCAAGCCGUAAUUUUUGACUUCUUCUCUCACAUGUGGAUUCCACUUUUCUUCUAACGGUCAAAAAAUCAAUUCUCAAAAUCUCUACCAAACAGACCCUAAGUUUACAUUUUAACUCUAUUGUUCGAUACACGAAUCCAAACAACAAACACUCACCUAAAGUCUAAACCCCAUUUUUUUACUUUUACUACACAUCUCAUAUGCUAAAUAGUGCAAAACUUUAUUCAGUAUUAAAAUAUCCACUUAAGUUUCAUAUUAAAGAGUUGACCUCCCACUAUCAAUGUAAUCAAAACAACAAACAACCCCAUAGGACAUAAUUCAAUAGUGCAAAUGAUAGGAAUGAAAUAGUCUCAACCUUAUUGACAGCCGCAGUCUGAGAGUUCGAUUCUUGGGAUAUAGAAUUGGAUUCUUUGUGGGUAUCAGUGUACGGGCAAGCUCUUGUUCCCUGGCCUACUGGGGCACAUCCCGCGAUUUACUUUCCUCACGAUGCUCCAAGAACAGGGUGGGACAGUGAAGGCCCUCAAGAUUGGGAUUCUAACCCUUUUUUUUUUUUUUUUUUAAUCUAAACAACAAACAAAAAUCACCAUCAAGUGCAUCAAUCAAAAAAAGCCACUUUUCCAUCCCCCAAAAGCCACCAAGCUUAUCUUCUUGUGUACUUGUUCUUCAAAGCCAAUAGGCAAUAACCAGUCAACUUUAUCUUAACUGAUACUUGACUUAAAAUAUUGCUUCAAUAAGUCUAUACAUACACUGUACAGUAUACUCCCCAGAAUGUAAAUUUUCAUAUACUGUAUUCUGAAAAGAUAGCCUUAGAAAUGCAAAAUCUUUGUGUAUCUGAUGUUGCUUCCAUCAGAGGUAGUUUUCGAGGGGCCCUGCUUGGUGUGCGUGCCAUUUCUAAUUCCUGCCCGCCAAGAAAAAACACACACACUCCACACAGUUCGAUAGCAUAAAGAUUUUUAAAGUAAAAAUCAUAAACUAACGCACAUAUAUAAAUCUAUAUUCCAGCCUAUAUGCAUAAAGAAAAGACAAGCGUGAUACCCGCUUUGAUAAGAUCUCUUCCUUUAUCUUUCUCAGUCUGUGAGAGAUACACGGAGAGAUAAAAGUGUGUGUGUGAGAUAUAGAGAGGGAAUGGGGUUGGCUUUACUUUUCUGUACUGUAUUAUGAGCAAAGAGCAAAAACUCAUUCUUUCAAGAAGAAGAUGACUCCAGAAGAAAAUGCGCAGUCCUCCUUGCUUGAUUCCCUGUACUGUGAAGAGGAAAAAUGGGGCGAAUUUGAAGAAGAAAGCAAUGAAAAAACCACCUUUAAUGGAGGAAAUCUGUCUCAUCUUCCUUUACUGUUAACCGAACAAGAUUUGUUCUGGGAAGAUGAAGAACUUAACUCACUUUUCUGCAAAGAAAAUGAAGCAUUUCUCGAUGGAACAGACAUUUCUCUUUCUCUGCAGGCACGCACAGAUGCAGUUGAAUGGAUCUUGAAAGUCAAAUUUUUUUAUGGGUUUUCAGCGUUGACUGCCAUUCUUGCAGUAAAUUAUCUUGACAGGUUCCUUUGCAGCAUCCAUUUUCAGAAAGAGAAGCCAUGGAUGAUCCAACUUGCAGCUGUUACUUGCCUCUCUUUGGCUGCAAAAGUUGAAGAAACCUGUGUUCCCCUCCUCUUAGAUCUUCAAGUACGUAGUUUCAAUGCUUAAAAGUAGAUUUUUCUUUACCUGUUCUUUAUGACAAUACGUAGAGAAGUGCUGUAAAAAAAAAAAGAAAGAAAGAAAGAAAAGUAGCUAAAACCCCUGUAUUUUACCGGCAAUCUUUAUUUAUUUUUAUUUUUUGGUUUAACAUUUUGCUGAUUUCAUUAGAUUGAGGAUACAAAAUGCAUGUUUGAGGCGAAAACCAUUCGAAGAAUGGAGCUUCUGGUGUUAUCAGCGCUCAAUUGGAGGAUGAAUCCAGUGACUCCACUUUCAUUUCUUGAUCACAUUAUUAGAAGGCUAGGAUUAAAGAGCAAUAUUCACUGGGAAUUUCUCCGGUGCUGUGAGAAUCUCCUUCUCUCUCUAUUGGCGGGUAGGCUAAAAAAAGGAAAAGAAGCAACUUUCACCAAAUAAGUAACUUAAAAGUAAUAAUAUAUUUCUUAUGCGUUUUGUAUGAUUAUACAGAUUCAAGAUUCGUACGCCAUCUACCAUCUGUCUUGGCUACGGCAACCAUGCUUCACGUUAUUCAUCAAGUUGAGCCUUGCAAUGCGAUUAACUAUGAAAACCAGCUUCUUGAGGUUCUUAAGAUCAACAAGGUUUGAUUCCUCACUGCCCUCGCCCCCGUGCACCCCCGCCCCACCCCCCUCCUUUAUUUUUCUUUUGAAUAAUGCUAUCCAACACCCCAUUGUAGAUGGCAUACUUUGUAAUUUCAGUUAAAUAAGUCAUUGACUUUGUAUUUAAGUGAACGUACAAUAUAUUCCCCUUCGUACUCAUUUCAUUUUUUACUCUCAUAUUCAACUUUCAUAAAAUAAUAUUACAUUUAAAUCGAAAUAUUUUUUUUUUUUUUUAAUCACUCGUCUACAAAAAAAAUAUUAUUUCACAUAUUUUCAUUUUAAAAAAAUAGGGGCCAAACGGGCUUAAUAUUAUUUAAUUGUCACUUAAAUUGUUGUUUACCGUCAAUAAUGAAGAAUAACAUUACUCUUUUCUUUCUUUCGAUGUUCAAUCAAGACCAGAAAAAGUGUCCAAUCCACAAUCUUCACUUGUAGACGACUUAGUUCGACGUAUAUGAGAGCAUCAAAGAAACUAACUGCGCCUCCCAUUCAUUAAAAUUUUGUGUGUAGGACUUAAUACUAAACGCGAAUCUGGCCCACACACAAAGGCGUGUUGAAAAUAAAAAGACCUGAGUUCAUGUCACCCCGUUUAAUAAAAUGAGUUUUGGUCUCCAUGAGAGGACGUGUUGAUUUACAUGAAAAAAUGGAUUUUCUAGCAGCUUAAAUUUUUUAAGUUUUCUGACAAUGUGUUUGAGUAAAAUUAUUUACGUUGACUAAUGGAGCCUGUAAUUUCGUUUUUGUAGGAGAAAGUGAAUGAUUGCUAUGAGCUUAUUUCAGAUUUGUCAAACAGGUGUUUACAUGGCCAAAAAAAUUCCCAGAAGCGGAAAAUUUGUCAAGUUCCAAGCAGCCCAAGUGGAAUAAUGGAUGAAUUUUUCAACUCGGAUAGCUCUAAUGAUUCAUGGAGAACUGUAGUAUCGUGCGUUUCCUCAACGCAUCAGCCUGUCUUCAAGAAAAUUAGGGUUCAUGAACAGCAGAUGAAAUUACCAUCUUUAAGCAGGAUUAUUGUGGCUGCAAUUAAAAACCCUCAUUAGCUAUCUAUCUAGAUUUGGGUAGCACGGAAUGGCAAAUAAAGAAGCUAUAAUUUCGUUCAUUGUACUGUCCAAUGUUGUUCCGAACUGCACACCAGAUAUGCACUUAAAUUGGUUUCGUAUUUAAGAGUUCAAGUUAAAUUGCAUGCAUUUAAUCACUCUGCCAUUAUCACAAGAAGGGUACUAAAAUCAGAAUAUUAUUAUCGUAAUUAAAGAAAGAAGAAGAGAGUUAAUGGUGGCAGAAAGAGCCGGCAAUUUACACAGAAGAGUGAAAAGGACAAGGAAUGAAGAAUGUCUGCAUUCUGUAGCUAUGAUGAUGCUAAAUCUCUCUCUUUCUCUCCAUCUCGUCCUUUCCGGGAAUACUACUUUGUAUGGACAUGUCUGUAUUAUCAUAAAUUGAUACAAUAUUUAUGUUACCAUGUUUGAGAUGUCUUUAUAAAUAGUUUAAAUUAUAUAUAAAUAAGUUACGUUGUUAGUAUUUGUAAAUCUCAAAAAACUCUAGUGUUUAUAAAUUCUAUAAAUAUGAACCAAACGGAGACUCGUUUAGUUUUAAAAUUCAUAGCCUCGGCUAUUCGAAUCCUUUUACGUGUAAGGCAAUUAUAUUUUGACACUUCAAGAUGUACCUCUAAUCUUGAGUGACAAUAGAUAAGAGGUUGUGUGGUUUGGUACAUCUAGAUGCAUCCUAAUUUCGUCUCACAAUACCAUCCUCCCCGUAGUACUUGACUUACACAAUCAUACCCGCCCAAUCUAGAGAGACAUUUUGAUGCAGAUAAAUUCGUUGAAAAUAAAAUUUGAAUGAAUGCAUGUGGUCCAUCUCUAAGUCGGAUGAAGAGAACAACAUCUCUAACUGGUUGUAGAUUGUACUAAUUGUCGGUCCCAUGUAUAAGAGAAGAAAUGUAGAGAAAGAGCGAAGAUAAUUUUUAAAAAAUUAAACGUACGUGAAUUAUAAGAAAAUUAAGUAAAGGAUGUCUAGCACACGAUUCUUAAGUGAAUGUACGAGACAUCCAUUACCUUUUUUUCUCGUCAUGUAAGGAUUUGAAGUACUUUUUGUUGCAAUCGAACAAAGUGGUUAACAAAUUGCAAAAGCUGUCGGCAGUGGGGUUUGGGGGUUUGACCUUGUUGGGGGGCCAUUACAGAUCCUUGUAUCUAUACCGUUGAGUUUUAAGCUUAAGAAUCAAGAUAGAGUAAUCUGUAUGGAAAGUAAUUUCAUAAUUAUUACCUUAAAAACAUAAACCCUUUUGACUUUGUUUUUCACUGUCCUUUUAUUGCUUGAUUUUGAACGUAACCUGUGACCACAGAAGUUCCAAGUUUCACACAUGCAAUAUGCAUGCAUGGGUGCCACUCAUUUGCCAGUUUGGCUAUAUUGAGUGAUUAACUUAAUAAAUAGAAUUUUCUUUUUCUCAAAACCAUUUAAAUUUUUAGUCAAUAUAGGUUAAUUAACAUGAAUAAACUCACAAAAAGAUUCGGAGUUUGAGUUUUGCUGCUAAUGGCAAAAUUUAUUUCGUUUUCCUUGAUUAGUAUAUAAUAUGAUUGUUGAGUUUCGAGAUGUUUACGUGUCAGACAAUAACAUUUUGACAGUUCAAGAUGCAUCUCUAAUGUGGAGUGACAAUACACGAGAGGUUGUGUGGUUCGGUACAUUUUAACACAUCUAGAUGCAUCCUUAGUUAGAUUGACAAAACCCUCCCCGUAGUACUCGAUGUUAGAAAGACAUAUUGAUGCAUAUAAAUCAGCUGGAAAAAAAAAAUGAAUGAAUGCAUGUGGUCUAUCUCUAAGUUAGAUGAAGAGGAGAGCAUCUCUAACCGGCCGUGGAUUGUUCUAAUUGUUGGUCUCAUGUACAAGAGAAUGAAUGCAGAGAAAGAGUGAAGAUAAGUUUUAAAAACUAAACGUACACAUCUUCCCAUAAAACAAAUUUGAGUUUUGCUACACGAACAGAGCCAUUCAUCGGGGGCCAAUUGGUCUCUUGUCACGAAUAGUGGCAACUUGGCUCUGUUACUAAAAAAUAUUAAGUAAAUGAUGUCUAGCAAACAGCUCCACGGAUGAAUGUAUUAGAUAUCCUGCCCCUUUUUUUCUUGUUAUGUAAAUAUUUCAAAAUGAUUUGACAUACCUUUUGGUGCAAUCUAACAAAGUGGCUGUCGGCCGUGGGGUUUGGGGGUUGGACCUUGUUGGGGGGCCGUCAUUGAUCCUUGAAUCUAUACCGUUGAGUUUAAGGUUAGAAAUCCGGAUGCAGUAAUAAUCUGUAAGUACAGUAAUUUAAUAAUUAUUACAUUAAAAACAUACCCGCUUUUGAUUAUUGCUCUUUCUUACAUAGUCCAAACCCUUUUGACUUUGUUUUUCACUGUCCUUUUACUGCUUGAUUUUGAAAACUUGACCACAUAAGUUUCAAGUUUCAACAAAUGCAUGCAUGGACGGGUGCGGGCCGGCACUAAUAUUUUGGGGACUUAUGCCAACUUUAAAUAUAAAGUCCCAUUAAAAAAAAAUCAUCAUAUUCUUCCUUGAGCCUUCUUACAGAGAGUAAAUUGAGCAUAGAAAAAUUAAGCCUCAAAAUUUGGAGGAAAAUAAUAAAAUAUCUAAUUUUGACAUGCAAUACAAAUUAUAAUUGAAGAUUGGCAUACAGAAUCAUAAUGCAAUGACAAAUGUGUCUGUUUGUUUCUUUCAUCAUUUUUUUCACUUCAACUAAAACAAAAUUAAAUUUCAUUUGAGUGAUUCAUGUACAGAUAAUGAAAAUGACGUUAAAAUACAAACGAACUUUUAAUUUUAUAUUAAUUUAUACUAAAUUAAUUUACAAACAAAAGUAUGAACACUAAAAAGGCUAUUAUCUUGAUAUUAAAACAAAACAAUAAUAACAAUAGUUUAUGUACUCUGUAGUAUAUGUUUUAAAGAUAAGGACAAAAAAAAAAUUUGUAAGGCUAUAAUAAUGGUAGUGAGACAAGACCAAUCUACUAAAUUAAUCUUCAAAAUUUUAAUUCAGAGUGAUUUAAUUCAUUGUUUGUUGGAUUGAAAAAAAAUUAUGGUGAGUUACUACUAGACAUAGAAUUUGAAGAGAGAAAAAAAAGAGCUUUUUGUUUGUUUAAGAAAAGAGAAGGAAUGUUUGGAAGAUAAAUUGUCAAAUUACUCUAAGAGAGUAAAGUUUGUAAUACAUUUACAUGAUAAAUAAAUGUAAGUGAUAAGUUUUAUAUCACUUAUAUGUUCUUCUAAAUUUUUUUAUUUUCAAUUUUUUUUAUGUCAUUUAAAUGUUUGCAUGGUGAUAAUUCUAUUUUAAGAAUUUUAUAAAUAUAAUUUUCGUAUUUCUUCAACCAACCAGUUAACCUUACAUAAUUUAGGCUCCUCGCCAAAGUAGAGCCAUAGGUGAUCACCUACUCUGUCUAUAGUCAAGGUCGUCAUUGAUGGGUGCUACUCAUUGCCAGUUUGGCUAUGUCGAGCGAUAACCCUAAUAAAUAUAAUUUUCUUUUUCUCAAACCAUUUAAAUUUUUAGGUAAGAUAGAUUAACACGAAUUUGAUCACAAAAAGAAUGGGAGUUCGAGUUUGGCUGCCACUUGCAAAGUUUAUUUCGUUUUUCUUGAAGAGUAUAUAAUAUAACUUGCAAAUGAAGUGGCGUUUUAAAAAUAAUAUAUUAAGUAAUUAAAGAUGUUCCUUCUCUCAAUUUCUAAAAGAGAUCAUAAAGUUAGAUUGUACAAUACAAAGGAAUCCUGUCUAAUUCACUAAUUCGUGAGAAGAUACUGAAUUUUUAUAUUUAAUCUAAUAAAGUUAAUUAUUUACGUGUUUAUUUUUCAAUUUCAGUCUAUACUCGAACUAGUUAAUUAUAAUAUUUUAAAACUUAUUUUCGUACAAGUGCUUGAUUUCUUUCUCCUAGUCCAUGAGAGAGUCAAAUGGUAGACCAAAUGAUCACAGCAAUAAUUGCUUUUGCAAUUAUAAGUUUCUUGAAAUGCCAAUUAUUUUCACUUAUUUUCAUAUUUUUUUUCUUUCUAUUUAGAAUGGAUCGGUUUCACUAUGAUAGCCCGCAUGAUAGUGAAAUUGAUGGGUCGUCGAUCGUCAUUUUGCUAAUAUUCCCACUCAUUUCGGUCAAAAAAUUUCAUAAUUUCUAGUCCAUGCAUUUUGUCUCUCAUUUGACUAUAAUGAACAAUUCUAAAAUCAAUAACUGAGUAAGAAAUAUACACAUUUUAAAUUAAAAUAUCCAAAAAUAAAUAAUAUUUUAAUUUCUUUUUGUCUUGUAAACAUGUAACUGAUUAAUAUAUUUGGAUGGCCUAAUGAAGCCAUUGAGCAAGUGCUCUAGCACAUGUAAUCCUUUAUAAGCUCGGGGGAGCACUUGAAACGCUAAGGGUCCGUUUGAUUGCAAGAAUGAAAUUUGGGUGAAAAAAAAACGAAUUUUAGAGAAUUGAAUUGCCUAGAACUUGUUUUACUGGAAAUUGUCAAUUAAAUAUGUUUGAUUUGUAUAAUUUUUCACCGAAAAAUGUUUAAAUUUUGAAUAUUUUGGUGUUCGUUUGGUUUUGUUUUUGUGAAAAUUGUUAAUUAAAAGAAUGGAAUUUGUUUUCAUUACAAAAAAAUAAAAAAAAUAAAUAAAUAAAGAAGAUGGAAUACCCAAUUCCCAUCAAAAUCAAAGGAAUUGAUUUUUCUUAAAAAGCAAGAGAAUGGUUCACUAGGAGGGUAGGGAAGAAAAGCAAUUCCAUGGAAAAUUUUGGUCAUCAAACAACACAUUUGGAUGGAAAAUGGAAAAUUUAAAUGGAGGUAUCAAACACGCCCUAAUAGUAAUGUCACUAAUGUGACGGAACUAUGGAAGGGAACUUUAUGUUAAAUUGUCAAAAGUAUGAAUUUUGAUAUGAAAUGUGUGUCUAUCAUAGGCUUGAAAGAUUUUUUUUUAUUUUUUUAUUUUUUGGACGUCAUGCUUACUUGCACACCUAACGAGUGUUACGUCCUUUUCAUUUCAAUAAAAGAAAAGUAAUACUUCCUUGGAUAGAGGGGGGAAAAAGAAUGAAAAAAGUAAAAAGAGAACUUGAAUGGAGAACUCCAUGAUCACAAAGAGUUAAAAGGUUAUAGGAUUUGAGUUAGCUUGUGGAAGAUCUCUUAUGUCUUACUUUUGUACCUUUGCUUUAAGGUCAAGCAAAGAAGAUAGAAAAUGGAGAGAUUAUCAUCAUUUUUUAUAUCGGGAUGUGUAUUUGAAAACUCAAAUCAAUCAAUCAUAACGUAGCAUAAAUAAUAACAAAUUAGAAUUAUUCUAAGCAUAUAGAAUUUAUUUGACGAAUUGAAACACCUUGUAUCAUUUCUGUAAGUGUGGCAUCUCUCUACAUAUUAAGCCCCUAUUUGAUUUUGAUAAAAAUUAAAUUUCUUAUAAAUUUUGAUAAAAAUUGAUGAAAUAUGUGAUUAAAAAGUUGUGGAUCCCAUAAAACGUAUGGUUGAAAAUGAAUUUUAGAUAGUAAGGACAAACAUGAACUAAAUUUACUAGGAGUGAGGGCCAAGAGCGGCUCCAUUAAUUUAAUUUUUAAAAGUUUCGUGAAGUUAUGUAUCUGCCAUGAAGUUGAUAAAUCAACUCUUAGCAAUCUCGACAUGUUUUGUUAUUUUGAGUGUAAUUAAUGUAUAAUAUUGUGACACAAUUCUUUAUAAAAACAAGAUUGAGAAAUGUGAAUGCAUUUCAAAAGAUGGUCACUCUUUUUCAAAAUUGACACGAUGAGAAAAGAUUAUAAUAAUAAGCCCCUCAAGUCCUCGGUAUUGUUUGUCACUUCUUUUCAUUUACACUAUGAGAAAAAGACCACGAUAAUAAAGCCCUUCGAGUCCUUGAUCGGUUAAUUUUGAGAAGAAUCGAGCUUGCUUACAAGCCACUCACACAUUAUAACCGACCUUUUGUCGCAAAAGAAACUAUAGCUGUAGUCUAAGGUCCCAAGUCUCAAAACAAUGAAAUAUCAUAAAAUGGCUGAAUGCCCGUCCGAUAAGCGUUGAAUUUGAACUUUCUAAUUUUUUUUUUUUUUUUUUAAAUCAUAAAGAAAGCACAUGAAUUAAUGUAGAAAGUUGUUUGAGUUCAAUAUUUUUUUUUUUUUCAAAAAAAUGCAUUUUGAAAUUGUGUUAUGAUGGAUAAUGUAUAAUUAAAAAAUAAGGAACAUUUUUGAAUUUAUGUAUAAUAUUAUUUUAUUAAAAAUUGUGUAAUUAAAAUAAAAUCAAAUCAUUGUUAAAAAAUAUAUUUCGAUAAAAAAAAGUCUCAAACAAGACUCUUUGGAAUUUUCUUUUUCUUCCACUCCUUUUUUUCCUCCUGCUAAACAGCUGUAAAGCUGUCAUGCCAGCAAAAGUUGUGUCUCUCUUCCCAUAUUCUCACUCUCCCAAUAAUUCUUUUGACUUUGGAGUUGAAGACAAUUCUUGUGUUGGAAAAAAAUUAUGCCCUGCUUUGUAAAAUUUAGAUUUUUAUCUAAUUUUAACCACGUAUAUUUUAUAAUAUUCACAAUUUUUCAAUCAUACAUUGCAUCAACUCUUGUUAAAAUUAUAAAAAUAAUUUGAUUUUAAUCUGCGUCAAACGAAAACUUUAUCGAAAUAUCCACAAUUAGAUUAAAGAGUCACGUGGGAAAGUACAGAGUGCUUGUACAUUAGAAGAUGAACAGAUCAAAUCUUUCGACCCAUUUUUUCUCGUAAGUUUGAAGAAAAUUGCAAUCAAUAGGAUUUCCUAAUUUCUCGAGAGGAAGAGUCUAAUUUUUUAUUAAUCAACUUAGCAAUGCCUUGACUUUGCAUAUGUAAUCUACGACACUGGUGCUGUAUAAAAUUAAUUAAAAGUUCUAAUAUUUUGCAUUAUUGCGGAGAAAAUUGAGGAUUUUUCUUUGACAUACUUGAUUUUAUUUUAUUUUCAAAGCAGUAAUACUUUAUAUUAUCACAAUUUGGGUUGCUGAAAGAGAAAUAAUUGAAUAUUUCUCUCGUACUCAUGAGGUCACAUUAUUUCUCAUUAAAUUAAAUUAAAUUUUUCUCUCUUCUAUUUUUAACCACACAAUCUUUAAUAAAAUAAUAUUACACGUGAACCAAAAACUUUUCUUUUCUUUUCAACCACUCAUUUUUCAAAAAAAUACUAUUCAAAACAUUAUAAUUUCCAAAUAAUGGGGCUCAAACGGGGGCUAAUGAUUUAUACUUGCUGAGUUAGGCCACAUGAAAAGAUUUCCAUAGAUUGACAUAAAACGCAAGCUCAUACCAUGUUAGACUUGGUCAGGUCAUCCAAUGAACCAAAACAAUUUCUUCGAGUAUCUCGACAACAAGUUUUUGAUAAUGGUCGAGAAACAUGUCACUACUAUGUUAAAAAGAAGCCAUACAAGAACUUUCUUAAAUUUAAAAAAAAAAAAUGUAAAUUAUAUUGAACAGACUGAACUCACGUUAUACUUCUAAAUUCACAUUAUCUAACGUUCAAGCAUUGCAAAUUGCAUGAGAAAAGUGGAUCACAUUACUUUCAAUGGAGUAAUUUUGACGUUCUAGUGAAAAUAUCGGAGGUACGAUGACGCGCCCCCUGAAGAAUUGAAAAAUCUUUCCAAUAUUUUCAGUAAAAUUAUAUCUUUUGUAUCAUUGAGGUCCCCAAAUCCAUACGAGUCCACCCAACAUCCAAUGGGGCUCCAGAGAACUGGGGCAAGACAAUAUCUGUUGGUAAGCCUGAAGAUGGAUCAGACAAUUACACACUGUACACGUGAGUCGAAUAAUUGUACCUAUAGCUGCAUUUUUAUUUUUAUUUUUAUUUUUAUUUUUUUAAUAUGACGACGGAACCCGCAGUCGCUAUCCUUCGAAUGCGCACUGGGUAAACUUUCGGAUUGACGCAAUAGCCUGCAAACCACGCCAGCCAGCAAAAUCGCACUAAGCAAGUUCAGUACGACAGACUGGACCGAGAAAGUAUUGGUAGGGUGAAUCGAACUCAUGACCAAAAGUCUCCGCUCUCACCUACUCCACUAACUCAACCACCUCAUGAGAGGCUACCUAUAGCUUCUUACUCAUACAGACAGUUAUUGAUGGCACAUUGUGAGACUCAUUCAGCAUCCUAAGACACAUCUCACUCCCAUUCCCACGCCAUCUUAAAGAAGAUUUUAUUUAUUAUUAUUAUUAUUAUUAUUAUUAUUUUCACUUAUGGGAUGGCUGAGUUGGUGGAGUAGAUAAGCACAGAGACCUUUGGUCACGAGUUCGAUUCCCACUACCAAGACUUUCUCGGUCAAGCCAAGCGCACCGAACUUGCUUAGUGUGGUUUACCUAGCUAAUGUGGUUUACAGGCUAUUGCGUCAGCUCGAAGGUUUACCCAGUACGCACUCGAAAGGUAGCGACUGCGAGUUUCGCCGUCAUCAAAAGAAAAAAAAAAGAAUUAUUACUUUCUUUAGACUGGCCAACUCGACUUCAUUCAUAACUAUUCACAAAACAUAUUUACAAGCCUUCCCUAGAUAACAAUGCUGCUGGAGAAGUAAAGACCACCUCUUUUAAGAUAGAAGGUUCACACAUUAAUGUCUGACAUCUCCAGCACAAGAUGAGAAACUUAACAACUGUUCUGUCCAUGGUAAGAGAGGCAUUGAAUGUAUAUGAUAAGAGAAAGGCCAGCGUUACAGGCAAUGGUGGUCCAAGUUUUUAGAUGGGGAAUUCACUGUUUCUUGUAGUUUAUGGGUUAAAAUUUAUGGCUGCUUAGUCUUUGCAGGCUCCCAUUUAGUCCAAAAAGGGUCACUUGGAAUCAAGAGAGUAUUCAGUCUGCCGAAACUGUGAAACUUGACUGCCAUAUGGACUUGUGUGUGUAAGAUUUGGGUAAUCCAUUGCACAGACUAAAGAACUGAUCCAAACCUCUUUUCUUAAGUUACUAAUUUUAAUAUGUAUAUUUUUAAGCUUAGCCAAAAAAGGGUAGUUCAUGUAAUUCUAUUUUGCCAAAAAGAGCAGUUUUUACUUUUUACAGUUCAUCCAUCUGGAUCAAACUAGUCCAAUGCAAGAAAAUAGCUGGUACGCAACAUUUUUGCUGAGUUUUGACCAAAAUUUCCUUAACCAAGGCAUGGCGUCUCAUUCUUCAAUAGGCAGGCACUCAGAACCCCAACUUUAAACCCUUAAAUCACGAUACAGGUGUGUGACUUCCAAGCAAAAAUUUAGCCUAUGAUUUUUGGAUAUAAUCUAAGUUCAUCCUGCUAGUAUGUGCUACAUACAAAGUAUGUAUCAGCUAUCAAAAUUUCUUGAAGCUCCUCUACUUUUACAUUCCUAAACUUUUGGAUUAAAUAAGUGAGAAUAAAUUCCAAAAGAAGAUUUUAAAGAACAACAUGUCUAGCAUUCUGAGAAUGGCUCGUAACCUGAUUAUCCAUCAAUCAUACCGAAAUAGAAGUUGAGUGAGAGAGAACACAAUAAUUUGAGGACGAUGCAUGGAUCAAGCUAUCCUAGAAUGCAGUUCAUCUCUUACACAAGCAUUUUGCAUUUGCAAGGAAAUUAAGUUAUCCACAGAAACUAAUUACAUAAAUAGAUGAUCAUUGACAGCCAUAAUAAGUUCUAAACUUAAGUAGAAUUCGACCUGGUCUGGGUGAUCAUCCUCCGCGCAUGUGUGCACCCAAUUCUCCAAACUGUUCAUCGGCUUCCACAGUAUCAGCCGACAAGCGAACUGCAUCCAACUUUUGCUUCAGAACGUCUAUUGCAUUGAGAAGCAAUUGAGAAGCUUUGAUAGCACCAGUUGACUCAACAGUAAAAAUAAAACUAUCUUCCUUCGCACGGAUUUCUAUAAGGCCUGGUUUGCCCAUUGAUUCAGCUUUCUUAAUCACCUCUUCGUCGUACGUAUAAGCCUCGGCAUCAUGAAUCAGAACCUGCAAGGAGAGUGUUAAAUAUGAAAAAAGAGACAUUAUUAAAAACUUAAACCUCAAACAACGUAAUAUUUUAAUAAUAUGUGCUUAAAGCAUAUGCCAAGGAGUCAUUUUAUGAUAUACAAGCUGAAUAUAGGUAAUAGAAGGACUAUGGAAUUGUAUCAAAGACCUCUUGGUCACCCUUUUCUACCUGAUUUGCAUUUUAUAUCAUAACCAUAAGGUAUCACGUAGUAAGUAAAAACUUAGUGGUAUCACGUAGUAAGUAAAAACUUAGUUCUUCCUGUUACAUUGUUUGUUGCAAAACUAGAAGAGAUAUACGGUGGUGCUGACUGUCAUUAACAAGUAAUUAUGAGAAUCUCAAGAUUGUAUGAACACUCUCUACCGCUAUAAAUUCUGAUGGCAUCGAAAAAUCGAUUCUAUUAGAUUCAAAUAUCACAAACCUAUAUUUCUAUAAGAAACUAAAACAGUUGGACUUGAACCAAGAAACCAAAGAGGUGCUGCAUGGUAACAACCAAGCAGUGUUUACAAGUCCAAGAAAACAUUCUGAUGAAUGCUUGUAACUUCUUAAAAAUUUUGCAAUGUGGGAUGUCACAAGGAAUAUUAGAAAUGAAUAUGCUGUGAAUUACAAGCAUGUUUUGGAGUUGUGUAUAAACGAUUUAAAUUAUUAACAGAAAGAAAUGAGUGAUGGAUAAGUGGAUAGUACUUGUGUGUCCCACGCAAUACGUGGAUAAAAAGUGAUUGGAUUGUUUAUGAACAAUAGCCAAACAUGGGUUAGGCAUCUCAAAAAAUCAGCUGAAUGAAAUUUCAAAAGAUCAAACAUAUGGGGGGAAAAAAUAAGAGAGAAGCUUGAGCUUCUCUUUAACCACACAUCAAUUUCAUCAUACAUAUAGUUCCAGAGUAUUGAGAUUCAUGAUCAACCUGAUUUGUAAUCUCAUCAAAUUUGAACACCGGAGUAGGACUGCUUUCAACAAACUCCCUUUUCUCAUCAGGUGUCAAGCUCUCCAUCAAUUCUUCAUUGAUAUAAAUCUCAGGUUCAUACAUGAAAGUGACGGUUGCUGCAGGUGACCAUUUAGCAUGAUCUUUACCAAUUCCUUUCCGAGCUAUGGCUCUUAGAAUCAGCUCCUGACCGCGGCGUAGCUUCACAAUUAUAAUUCCCCUAUAUAUAGAAAUUAAUCAUCUAAGUAUUCAUUUCCCUAAAAAAUUAUUGCCGCUGAAGAUCAUAAAUGCAAGAUCAACAAAAAUGAAGCAGAAACAACAAAAAGUGGCCAACGUUGUUAGUUUUGUUACUCUUUAAAUUAAACGACACAAUUUAUCAUUGAGUAGGACCAGUUCUUGAAUAGCACUUCAAAAAUCAUAGCAGUAAAUCACAAUAAAAGAAAAUUUGACAACAGUUAACCCUGAUAAUGCACUGAUAAAAGCAUUAGAAAUAUGUUUCUGUACUCUAGGCAUAUUUUUAUACGACCUACAUAACUUAAUUGAGAUAAUAUAUUACCACAAAGAAUAUACCAACAGAAAGUUCAUGGCUAUAACAUUGUUACCACGAACAAUGUUCUGGACUCGAGGCAUCGAGGUUGAACCUUCAAAUUCCCCUUCUAAAUCUCUCCAAUCUCCUGUCUUUUGAUGCAAGGGGAAUCCAAAUAAUGUAUAAUUUCAGAUUCAUAAUUCAUUACUAAAUCUUUAAUGGUAUACUUUUCAAAAACUCCAUAUUUUGACAGUGGAGAUGGCGCCUUAUUCAGGUUUCAUUAACGGCCUUAAUCUAACUUAGAGAUGAAAAAAAUGUCAAGCACACCCUUAUUUAAAAAGGUUUACUUCAACAAAGUUGUUUUUUAAUAUAGGUUUCCUCUUUAGAUUUUCAUGAUUACUCCACUCAUUUUUUGAAUUUUCACAAAGCAUGUCUUGCCAACAGUUUGUCUUGCCAAUACAGAUGAGGAAAGAAAUAAAGAAUCAUAGGAAUGCCCAAAUUGUUGAUCAUUAAAAGAAUUUGGACGUGCAUCAUCCCUAUUGCGACCAGACAUAGAUCUUCACAUUUACAGUUGAAUUUUUCUUGAUAGAGGAUAACUUGAUCCCAUACAGUUAACUCAACAGACAAGAUAGUACAUAUUGAAUUAUCUUGACAGAGUAAAGUUUAGGGACAACUCCCUACCUUAUUAACUCAGUAACGUUAACUUAACCAGAGCCAUUGUAAGGGCUAAGAAUGAAAAAUCAAAUCAACGAGGUUAUAAUUUGUUUCUGAAAGCCUUUUUUAUUCAUUUUUCUAUCAAUCUUGGUCCAUUCUCGACACAAUUCCAAAUCCUUCAACCCUAUAUUACUUGCAAUAUCCCAUUUUAAAUUACACAAAUUAACAUGUCACUGACAGAGAUACGCAACUAAAUGUAUAUACGAAUCCAUUCACAAAAGCUUCCAGGAUCAAGACUUCCCCACACACUAUAGAUCUUUAGUAAAAGCAUUCACAUUUUUGUAAGGCUCCAAAAACCAUAACUAAAUCACAUAAUUUCCGCGAAGGAAUAAAAUUCGCAUGACACUUGAUGAUGACAGUGAAUUGGAAAAAGCAUUAUGCAAAUUUCUAAGAUGGCAAACAAAUUACAAUAAUUAGCUUUCUGCUUCUGGGCAACAAGUGCCAUACAAACUAUAUUCUUUACCAAUGGCAAUACAUAUUGUUUAGAUGCCUUCAAGCUACUAGUGGAGCAUGUAUUCCACCAAAAUCUUAGGGGGUUUAUUUUUUUUAUUUUUUAUUUUUUGUAUUAAUAUUUUGGUUGGGUUGUGGGGUUGGAGACAAGGAAAAAAAAUAUUAUUUCCAAUUGGGAUGGGUACAUGAAUACUUUCUCACCAUUACUCCAGUUCAUCACUAAAUCCCUUGGAAUUUCAAUGGAACAAAAUCAUUUGCAACUACAACAAGCCAUGUUAAGCCUAUAUUCUGUCCUAUGGACAUAACAGGACUUUCAUCUUCACACUUUUCCUCUUUUAUCAACAUCUUUGUAAUCUUCCAUUUGAAAAUAAGUUAACCUAUACACUCUUUCAAUUUUAUUGUAACCUUUAAUUUGCAUAUCUUCCCUGCAAACCCCUUUUCUUCAAAAAAUCACACCUCAACUUCACUGUGUUUGACAUUCCCAAAAAGAAAUUGGAAAUUCUGCGCAACCCCUACAAGAGUACAAGACUCAAUACUUACCCUAUGAUUUUACAGCCAUCUAUAUCACCAGCACAAAAAGGAUAACUGCUUACGGAAUAAACAGAAAAACCUUAUCUUCAAACCAAUAAUUACUUUCAUUUACCACCAUACCCAAGUAGAAUAACAUAAAAUUUGAGAAUCCAACGUACAUAUACCACACAAGAGCAGAGAGAUGGAGAGAAAUGUAUACUUAUUCUCCAAGUUCUCAAAGCCAGAAGAAGAAUCCGUAAAAUCAACAGGUACAACCGUGUGGUCAGAGCUAUACAAAUCCUUAGAAGUGACAUCGAGGGUCUGGUCAUUAAUACACUUUGCUCUCAGAUGAAACUCCACAGAGCAGUACUCGCAUUGACCAUCUCCAUCACAGGCAUCACAGUCUCGGGAAAACCUCAUCCCCAUGGCACGUUCGCUGGUAAGCGGAAUGAGCCCUAGGCGGUGGGCGAUGAAUUCGUCGUUAAGAACGGACGAAUUCACCUCGAUUUCGACCAAAUCGAUGGCGAUUGUCGGCACCUCCGCAAUCAUCACUCGCCGGAGCGCGUUGGCGAUACUCGCGUCCGUCUCCCGCAGCUCGAAUUUCAUGUAAUCGUCCCUCACCUCCCGGAUUUUGAUCUUCGGGAAUCUCUGGUACGAUGCGCCUUCCAUUGUCAGCUCUGCUCUCUCUCUCAACGGAGAGGGAAUCACUCAGGCACUGAGCGAGGGUUUUAGGUAAACCCUCCGCAAGAUUUUGAAAUAAUUUAUACGAAGAUUUUCAUUACCGGUCCCCAAUAUAUGAAAAUCAUCACAACUUGGUCCUCCACCUAUCUACUUGGCAGUAUCGUUCCCAGCCUAUUUGCUUGUGAAAACAUUUAGUCCUUGAUGCUAUUUUGUCCAUGUUUGAUUCAGCUCAAAAGUUGGAUUAAAAUCUAAAUCAAAAUCAAUAACAAAUUAUAACCACACAUUUCAUGGACUUUACUUUAACCAUAUGUUUCAUCAACUUUUAUCAAAAAAUAUAAAAAAUUUAAUUUUUAUCUAAAUCUAACAAGAGCUUUACGUCAUUUCGACCUUUUAAGUGUACAAGUGACUUGUACUUUCUGAAAUUUUAAAGGGUAGAAUAGUCGGGUCGUUUGCUCAAUUAUAAGCCCCUAUUUGUUUAGAUUAAAGUUUUGAUAAAAUAAUAAUAAUAAUAAUAAUAAUAAGUUAAAGUUAAUGAUUGAUUUUAAUUGUAUAUUUAUGAGAUCCGCAUAUUUUAUCAACCUUUCGAUCACAUAUUUUAUCAAAAUUUAUAGAGGAUCGAUUUAACGUGAGAGAAGUUAAAAAGAGUUUUUGAAACUCAAAAUAUGCUUUUUAAACUUAUUUGACUAAACAUGGGCUUAAGUUUUAGAGUGAAAGAAGAGAUCGAAGUUUGGAAAGAAGUAGAAGUAUAGUAGAUAGAGUACAAACGGCUGCCACACAAACACUUCAAAUAAUUAAUUAUUUAUUUAAUACUCAUCCGACUAAAAGGAAAAAGGUUUUAUCUUGUCACAUUAGAUCAUUUCAAAAAGACUCUCUAUUUAUGAAGAACAUUUUAUACAUGAUAAAGAGCAUUUUUAAAUUCAAAGUAAUAUUUUUUACACACUCCAACAAGCUCUCUACUUUAAUUCUUUAUUUUGUUUAUUCAAAUAAAUAUUUAAUAAUUUCUCCACAUAUUUUAUUUGAAUAUAAUUUUUUACAUAUUAAUGACCAAUCAAUUUAAAUGUAAUUUGAAAAUUUUAAAUUGUAGAGCGUUGAAAUUUGCAAUGUAUUAAGCCCUCGUUUGAUUUUAAUUUUUUGGUCACAAAAAUGAAAAAUAUGACAUUUAUCCAUCACAUCAAACCAUCAUAUUUGACUUUUUAUCUCUUGUGUGAGUUUCUUAACGACUAUAUUUUUCAUUCUCAUUCUUAUAAAAAUGGAUACCAAACAGAGCCUAAAUACAAUCAUUGUACAUUAAGAAUAAAAAGUGAAUUUAGCUCUCUAAAUUUGGAGAGUCAAACACACUUUACUUUAAAAAGUUAAAAUAGAGUCUUUUGGAGCUCAUUUUUAAGUAUUGACUCUUUAAAAUAGAGAGUAUUUUGUAUUUAAAGAGUCUCUUGAAAAUAGUCGUAAACAUACUUGUCUAUCUUGUUAUACUAACAUUAUUUUAUACAACUGUUUUGAUUCUGAACUAAAAAUUAUACAGAAGGAACAAGAAUAAUGAAUCAGCAAUACAUAUAAUUUUUUUCCAAAAUAAUCACUUUUGUUGGAAGUAGAUCAACUACAAGAAAAGAUAACAAUAUAAUAGACAACAUUUUUUAAAAGUACAAGUUUUACAGGCACCAAACAGAGAGAAAUAAAUCUAAUCAAUUUUUGGAUGCAGAUUGGAAGAUGAAGACUGCUGUCAAAACUCCCACCAGAGCUGUAACAGCCAAGGCCACAGCAGGCAUGGGGGACGUGAGCCCGAAAUUCUGCGAGAUUAGGGGGGAAAAAAUGCUCAAUGAAAAGCUAAUGGUUAAAAAAUGUACCAACACAGAACAGGCAACGAAAAGAAAGGAAGAAACAGAGACGAAUUUAACCGCUAUAACUACCGCUAGACUUCAAUGAUUCAACUUUCACUUCUGGAAACACGAUCAUCGGUACAGAUGAGAUGUUAUUUGAAUUUAGCAGGUGUUUAGAUGGAAUAGUUAACACAGUUUGAAGGAAAAUUCCGUUAAAGACUAAAUUUAACAAAAUAUAUGUUUCAUCCUAACAACUUUUAGCUGAGUUGAUUCAACAUUUUCUCUCUUGUAAACAUCCGAGCUGUGUGUGGGUAUGCAUGUGUGUCCCUUCCCAAACAGAGCUUAAGCAUUUUGAUGAGACCAUUCCACUGAAAAAUCCAGAAGAUUCAACAUGCCAUCUGGCUUGCAUGACAGGAUUAGUUAUUGAAGCGGUAUCGGGAACCCAUAUAUAUCUACAAUAGAUUGGAUAAAAUUAUUUGGUCACACAAAAUAUCUCAAACAAGAGAAAAAGCUUCUUUGAAAGAAUCUCCGGAAUAAGGUUAUUUAGAGUUCGAGAGGGAGAAAAGGCUCCCAUCUUCUUUUCCUCCACCUCCUUUGGACAAUUCUGAAUGCCCUUAUCUGCACUGCCUAUGUUAUACAUUAGAAACUCAAUUGGCACUCUCCAUUCUCACUUUUACGUGUAAGAAUCCUGAAGUAAAAUGGAAACAAGAGCAAGAUCAUGACUCCCAAAUAAAAAGUGGAAGACAAAGCAACUGGGGCUUCACAAGUAUCUAGCAAAACACGUGCUUCAUGUCAACCAAAUCUGAAUUACACGCAGCAAAAGGCACAUAUCUAAUAAACUGAGUAAAUAGCUGAGUAAAUAUAAACGAUGCUAUAUUUAGUCUCAGUUUGAGUUUGUGUAUUUAUGAUUACUGGGAAAAAUGUGAAUCAGCAUAAUUGAAAGAAGUAACUUAACAUACAAACUAGAUACAAUAAAAACAUUAGUAGGUAGGCAUACCUCUAGAAGUCCUUUGCCUGUUGCUAUUUCAAUACUAAUUGCAGUUGCAAAGCCAACCAUUGCCAGUCGUCCAAGCCAUACAUCCAAACCGUUGCUGUCCUUAGUGCGCUGCUCGCAUCUUAUGGAAACUGAUGUUGCUUUAGUUGCAGGGUUUCUUUGUAGAGGCCUCUGAAUCACUGGAAAUGAGAAGGAGAAUUAGCUACUACCCUAUUAAGUUCUCACUCAAAAAAGCCAACCUUAAAACCAUAAAUGAAAGUCUAGCAAAUACAGACCUUAGAAUGUACAAGUAUAGCGUAAACUUAAGAAACCAAAAGCACG